RNAcentral lists this long non-coding RNA (77585 nucleotides) under Triticum aestivum (bread wheat). RNAcentral's name for it is "long non-coding RNA (TAES_LNC021562)". Lineage: Eukaryota; Viridiplantae; Streptophyta; Magnoliopsida; Poales; Poaceae. The record is from RNAcentral.
GGAAGGGAGCCUGGCGUGCCUCGUGUCCGUCCAGGGUGCUCGGGAUUCCCAAGGGCCAUUGUGAGCUCGUCCUUCUCCCUGUUUGGAAGGAACGUCCCUCGCUGCGCUGCAUCGAUAUUGUGUCGAAGGUUCUUGACUGGUGUUUGCACUUGCUCGUCCGUCCACUGACACUGCCCUGUUACAGGGUCCAAGGUUCCGCCAGCCCCGAAGAACCAAGUCCGGCAACGGUCUGGCCAGCGCAUUGUCUCUGGUUCGAUCCCUUUUUCAAGCAGAUCAUGCUCAGCCUUGGACCACUUAGGCCGGGCUUUGAGGUAGCCACCUGACCCCGUGCGAUGGUGAAGCUUCUUCUUCGCAGUAUUUUUCUUGUUUGUCUCCGACAUCUUCUUACUCUUUUUCGAUGUCUUGUGGGCCACAAAUGCGGGCCAGUGAUCUUUGAUCUUCUCAUAUUUGCCGAUGAAUUCUGGUGUCUUUUUUCUCUUGACAAACUGGUUCAGCUCUUUCCUCCACCUCCUCAUUAGGCCUGCCAUCUUCUUAAGAGCACAAGACUUGAUUAAUUGCUCAUUAACUGGCUUCUCCGGAUCCUCCUCUGGCGGUAGGGUGAAAUUUUCCUUCAGCUCAGUCCAAAGAUCUUCUUUCUGCAUAUCAUUGACAUAAGACACCUCAGCGUUUUCAUCCUUAGCAGGCUUAUACCAUUGCUGGAUGCUGAUCGGGAUCCUGUCCCUAACAAGAACCCCGCACUGAGCAGAAAGUGCCUUCCUUGUCCGGAUGGGUUCAAUCGGUUCACCAUCGGGCGCGAUUUCUAUGAUCUCAAACUUUUCAUCCGAGCUCAACUUUUUCUUCGGGCCUCGUCUCCUUACCGAAGUUGUGCUCGAUCCGGAGGAUAGAAAUUAUAAGGAAGAGAGACGACAGUAAUUAAUAUGUGUACAUAUACCAAAACAAUGGAUGCAUCAAUUAACUUGUCAGCACGGGCUUAACUUAUAUAUAUAUACCUGGCCGGACUCGGUUCGGUGACAGGAGCAGUUAGCACGGUCUCCUUCGUCUUGUACCUCCAUUGUGUCACCGGAGCCAUCAUGAACAUAGUCCUCCUCUUGUACCGGCAUUAAUGGGUCGAAGCCAUCAAAAACAUAGCCCUCUUCUUCAUCCAGCUGACCAUCGGUGUCGAUGAGAAAUGACGCAACAUCAUCACUUCCAUUUGCGAUUAUGUCCCCCAACAUCGCUUCUGUUUCUUCGUCUCGGGAGUGCUCCAUAGUUUUUGCAAAUAUUUACAACAUGUCAAUUAUUAUUCAAACAUGGUACANNNNNNNNNNNNNNNNNNNNNNNNNNNNNNNNNNNNNNNNNNNNNNNNNNNNNNNNNNNNNNNNNNNNNNNNNNNNNNNNNNNNNNNNNNNNNNNNNNNNNNNNNNNNNNNNNNNNNNNNNNNNNNNNNNNNNNNNNNNNNNNNNNNNNNNNNNNNNNNNNNNNNNNNNNNNNNNNNNNNNNNNNNNNNNNNNNNNNNNNNNNNNNNNNNNNNNNNNNNNNNNNNNNNNNNNNNNNNNNNNNNNNNNNNNNNNNNNNNNNNNNNNNNNNNNNNNNNNNNNNNNNNNNNNNNNNNNNNNNNNNNNNNNNNNNNNNNNNNNNNNNNNNNNNNNNNNNNNNNNNNNNNNNNNNNNNNNNNNNNNNNNNNNNNNNNNNNNNNNNUAAUCACAAUAAGGAAUCAUGUUAGUGGCCUCGACGCUGCUUCUCUAGGGUUUGGGGUCGCCUCGACACAAAGCUUCAAGGGUUUGGGGUGGCCUCGACGAUAACGCUCUUUUAACUUGAUAAAUUUGGGUGGCCUCGAGAGAGUUAAUUUGUCGGGUAGGGGCGCGGCGGGAGGGGGUAGGAGACCAACAUCAUUUUCUCUCUAGGGUUUGGGUGUCCUCGAGAGUUUUGGUCGAGCGAGAGGGCCGAGGGGGGUGCUGCAGUUGUAUAAGUUAUCACGGUCUAGAGGGGGUAUAGCCCCUCAUGUCGAAGUUAUCUAGAGGGGGUUAUAUCGACAACGACGCGACAUACAUAUACAUGGGAAAAUAAUGUUAUCUGGGAGGGGGUAUCGGUACCACCCCCUCGUGUUGAAGUUUCUUCUUUCUCCUCUAUUCCUUUCUUUCUUCUCCUCUUUUUUUUCUUCUUCUCCCUCGAGAAAGGAAAAUAAUUAAGGAAAAGGAAGAAAAGAGGAAGAAGGAAGAAGGAAGAAGAAGAAGAAGAAAAAGAAAAAAAAGAGGAGAAGAAGAAAGGAAUAGAGGAGAAGAAGAAAAAAUAGAAUUUUUUUUCUUCUAUUUUUUCUUCUUCUCGUCUAUUCCUUUCUUCUUCUCCUCUUCUUUUUCUUCUUUUUUCCUCUUCUUAUUUAUUUCUCCUCUUCUUCCUCUCCUCUUUUUCUCCUUUCUUCCUCUUCUUAUUUCCCUUUUUCCUCUCAUUCUUUUUCUUCUUCUUCUUCCUUCUUCCUUCUUCCUAUUUUCUUCCUUUUCCUUAUUUUACUUUCUCCUCUACACUAACCUAAAAUGCACUAACCUAAAAUCGAUCGAUAUCUACUAACAACCUAAAUAUAAAAUUAUUACAUUUAUGAAAAAACAUAUAUAAACAAAAAAAUGCUAUGAACAUUAUAUUUAUACAUACAUAUAUAGCCACAUCCAUUCAUCAUAUAUAUAUAUAGCUACCACAUACAUAUAUACAUUAUACAUAUGAAAAAAAUGCAAUGAAUAAAAAAAUACACUUAUAAAAAAAAUACUAUGAACAUGCUAUAUAUACACAUACAAACACAUAUACACAAAAAAAAUGCAAAAAAAUGCUAUGGAGGAAAAUGCAGGGCGGGCGGCGUGCACGGCGGCCNNNNNNNNNNNNNNNNNNNNNNNNNNNNNNNNNNNNNNNNNNNNNNNNNNNNNNNNNNNNNNNNNNNNNNNNNNNNNNNNNNNNNNNNNNNNNNNNNNNNNNNNNNNNNNNNNNNNNNNNNNNNNNNNNNNNNNNNNNNNNNNNNNNNNNNNNNNNNNNNNNNNNNNNNNNNNNNNNNNNNNNNNNNNNNNNNNNNNNNNNNNNNNNNNNNNNNNNNNNNNNNNNNNNNNNNNNNNNNNNNNNNNNNNNNNNNNNNNNNNNNNNNNNNNNNNNNNNNNNNNNNNNNNNNNNNNNNNNNNNNNNNNNNNNNNNNNNNNNNNNNNNNNNNNNNNNNNNNNNNNNNNNNNNNNNNNNNNNNNNNNNNNNNNNNNNNNNNNNNNNNNNNNNNNNNNNNNNNNNNNNNNNNNNNNNNNNNNNNNNNNNNNNNNNNNNNNNNNNNNNNNNNNNNNNNNNNNNNNNNNNNNNNNNNNNNNNNNNNNNNNNNNNNNNNNNNNNNNNNNNNNNNNNNNNNNNNNNNNNNNNNNNNNNNNNNNNNNNNNNNNNNNNNNNNNNNNNNNNNNNNNNNNNNNNNNNNNNNNNNNNNNNNNNNNNNNNNNNNNNNNNNNNNNNNNNNNNNNNNNNNNNNNNNNNNNNNNNNNNNNNNNNNNNNNNNNNNNNNNNNNNNNNNNNNNNNNNNNNNNNNNNNNNNNNNNNNNNNNNNNNNNNNNNNNNNNNNNNNNNNNNNNNNNNNNNNNNNNNNNNNNNNNNNNNNNNNNNNNNNNNNNNNNNNNNNNNNNNNNNNNNNNNNNNNNNNNNNNNNNNNNNNNNNNNNNNNNNNNNNNNNNNNNNNNNNNNNNNNNNUUUCCAAAUUUGAAAACACUUUUUUUUGUUUUCUUUCUUGCUUUAUUUAUUUUAUUUUGUUUCUACUUACAACAAAAUACUUAUUGUUGUUUUUUGUUUUGUUUUCUGCAUUAUUUAUUUUCUUUUGUUUUUUGCUUUAUUUUUUAAUUCUUUUUGCUUUUAUUUUUUGGAAAAUUAUAAACUUUCCACUUUUUUCGUUUUUUCGUUUUCUUUCUUGCUUUAUUUAUUUUAUUUUGUUUCUACUCAACAAAAUACUUAUUGUUGCUAUUUUUGAUUAUUACGAGGGCCGAACCAUAAGACAUUAAAGCAUUUCAAAUGAACUCUGAAAAAGUUGAAAGUUGGCAUGGUAUCAUAAAUUGACCCACACAUAGCAUGUGCAUGUACAAAACGGACAAUGGUAUCAUACUCGUCAGUUACAAAGUUGGCAUGGUAUCAUCAUAAUAGUUGCGGGAGAAAGUCUUCACUUUUUCUUCGCUUGUGUCAUUUGCUUAUUGCGCCGUAACCAUGGAUAAUCUUCAUCGUUUAUCAGGAUGCUGGGGUCAGCCUUGACUUUAAAGGGAGGAAUUUCAUGAAACUUUUCAUAAUCUUUAGACAUGUCUGUCUUGUCCUCCACUCCCAUGAUGUCCCUUUUUCCUGAAAGAACUAUGUGGCGCUUUGGCUCAUCGUAUGAUGUAUUCGCUUCCUUAUCUUUUCUCUUGCUCGGUCUGGUAGACAUGUCCUUCACAUAGAUAACCUGUGCCACAUCAUUGGCUAGGACGAACUGUUCGUCAGUGUACCCAAGAUUUUUCAGAUCCACUAUUGUCAUUCCGUACUAUGGGUCUACCUAUACCCCGCCUCCUGACAGAUUGACCCAUUUGCACUUAAACAAAGGGACCUUAAAAUCAUGUCCGUAGUCAAGUUCCCAUAUGUCCACUAUGUAACCAUAAUAUGUUUCCUUUCCCCUCUCGGUUGUUGCAUCAAAGCGGACACCGCUGUUUUGGUUGGUGCUCUUUUGAUCUUGGUCAAUCGUGUAAAAUGUAUUCCCAUUUAUCUCAUAUCCUUUCCAAAUCAAUACAGUCAAAGAUGGUCCCCUGGAUAACAAGUACAGCUCAUCACAAACAGUGUUGUCACCUCUGAUACGUGCUUCCAACCAACUGCUGAAAGUCCUGAUGUGUUCACAUGUAAUCCAGUUGUCGCACUGUUCCGAGUGUUUGGAGCGCAGACUAUUCUUAUGUUCAUCGACAUACGGGGUCACCAAGGUAGAGUUCUGUAGAACUGUGUAGUGUGCUUGAGACCAAGAAUAUUCGUCCCUGCAUAUUAUUGAGUCCCUUCCAAGCGUGCCUUUUCCAGUCAGUCUCCCCUCAUACAGCGAUUUAGGGAGACCUAUCUUCUUAAGGCCAGGAAUGAAGUCAACACAAAACCCGAUGACAUCCUCUGUUUGAUGGCCCAUGGAGAUGCUUCCUUCUGGCCUGGCGUGGUUGCGGACAUAUUUCUUUAGGACUCCCAUGAACCUCUCAAAGGGGUACAUAUUGUGUAGAAAUACGGGGCCCAGAAUGACAAUCUCGUCAACUAGAUGAACUAGGACGUGCGUCAUGAUAUUGAAGAAGGAUGGUGGGAACACCAACUCGAAACUGACAAGACAUUGCACCACAUCACUCCUUAGCCUUGGUAUGAUUUCUGGAUUGAUCACCUUCUGAGAUAUUGCAUUGAGGAAUGCACAUAGCUUCACAAUGGCUAAUCGGACGUUUUCCGGUAGAAGCCCCCUCAAUGCAACCGGAAGCAUGUUCGUCAUAAUCACGUGGCAGUCAUGAGACUUUAGGUUCUCAAACUUUUUCUCUGCCAUAUUUAUUAUUCCUUUUAUAUUCGACGAGAAGCCAGUCGGGACCUUCAUACUAAGCAGGCAUUCAAAGAAGAUUUCCUUCUCUUCUUUGGUAAGAGCAUAGCUGGCAGGACCUUCAUACUGCUUUGGAGGCAUGCCAUCUUUUUCGUGCAAACGUUGUAGGUCCUCCCGUGCCUCAGCUGUAUCUUUUGUCUUCCCAUACACGCCCAAGAAGCCUAGCAGGUUCACGCAAAGGUUCUUUGUCACGUGCAUCACGUCGAUCGAAGAGCGGACCUCUAGGUCUUUCCAGUAGGGUAGGUCCAAAAAUAUAGAUUUUCUUCUUCCACAUGGGUGCGUGUCCCCCAGCGUCACUCGGAACAACUAGUCCGCCGGGACCCUUUCCAAAGAUUAUGUGUAAAUCAUUGACCAUAGCAAGUACGUGAUCACCGGUACGCAUGGCGGGCUUCUUCCGGUGAUCUGCCUCGCCUUUGAAAUGCUUGCCUUUCUUUCGACAUUGAUGGUUGGUCGGAAGAAAUCGACGGUGGGCCAGGUACACAUUCUUCCUGCAGCUUGCCAGGUAUAUACUAUCGGUGUCAAGUAAAAAGUGUGUGCAUGCGUGGUAUCCCUUGUUUGUCUGUCCUGAAAGGUUACUGAGAGCGGGCCAAUCGUUGAUGGUCACGAACAGCAACGCCUUUAGGUUAAAUUCCUCCUGUUUGUGCUCAUCCCACGUACGUACACCAUUUCCAUUCCACAGCUGUAAAAGUUCUUAAACUAAUGGCCUUAGGUACACAUCAAUGUCAUUGCCGGGUUGCUUAGGGCCUUGGAUGAGAACUGGCAUCAUAAUGAACUUCCGCUUCAUGCACAUCCAAGGAGGAAGGUUAUACAUACAUAGAGUCACGGGCCAGGUGCUGUGAUUGCUGCUCUGCUCCCCGAAAGGAUUAAUGCCAUCCGCGCUUAAAGCAAACCAUACGUUCCUUGGCUCACUUGCAAACUCAUCCCAGUACUUUCUCUCGAUUAUUCUCCACUGCGACCCGUCAGCGGGUGCUCUCAACUUCCCGUCUUUCUUACGGUCCUCACUGUGCCAUCACAUCAACUUGGCAUGCUCUCUGUUUCUGAACAGACGUUUCAACCGUGGUAUUAUAGGAGCAUACCACAUCACCUUCGCAGGAACCCUCUUCCUGGGGGGCUCGCUGUCAACAUCACCAGGGUCAUCUCGUCUGAUCUUAUACCGUAAUGCACCGCAUACCGGGCAUGCGUUUAGAUCCUUGUACGCACCGCGGUAGAGGAUGCAGUCAUUAGGGCAUGCAUGUAUCUUCUGCACCUCCAAUCCUAGAGGGCAUAUGACCUUAUUUGUUGCGUAUGUACUGUCGGGCAAUUCGUUAUCCUUUGGAAGCUUCUUCUUCAAUAUUUUAAGUAGCUUCUCAUAUCCUUUGUCAGGCACAGCAUUCUCUGCCUUCCACUGCAGCAAUUCCAGUACGGUACCGAGCUUUGUGUUGCCAUCUUCGCAAUUGGGGUACAACCCUUUUUUGUGGUCCUCUAGCAUGCGAUCGAACUUCAGCUUCUCCUUUUGACUUUCGCAUAGCGUCCUUGCAUCGACAAUGACCCGACGGAGAUCAUCAUCAUCGGGCACAUCGUCUGGUUCCGCUUGAUCUUCAGCAGCUUCGCCCGUUGCAGCAUCAUCGUGCACAUCGUCUGGUUCCUCUUGAUCUUCGGGAGCAUCACCAUAUUCAGGGGGCACAUAGUUGUCAUCGUACUCUUCUUCUUCGCCAUCUUCCAUCAUAACCCCUAUUUCUCCGUGCCUCGUCCAAACAUUAUAGUGUGACAUGAAACCCUUGUAAAGCAGGUGGGUGUGGAGGUUUUUCCGGUCAGAGUAAGACUUCGUAUUCCCAUAUACAGGGCAUGGACAACACAUAAAACCAUUCUGCUUGUUUGCCUCAGCCACUUCGAGAAAAUCAUGCACGCCCUUAAUGUACUCGGAGGUGUGUCUUGAACCGUACAUCCAUUGUCGGUUCAUCUGCGUGCAUUAUAUAAUGAAGUGACCAAAUUAAUAGAAGUUCAUCAUCACAUUAAAACCAAAGUACAUACAUAGUUCUCAUCUAACAACAUAAAGCUCUGCAGAGCAUCUAAAUUAAUUAAACCAUACACUGAAACUAUGUAAAACAUUUCAAUGCGAAAACAAAUGCGAUCAUAAUCGCAACCAAUGUAACAACUGAUCCAACGGCAUAAUGAUACCAAGCCUCGGUAUGAAUGGCAUAUUUUCUAAUCUUUCUAAUCUUCAAGCGCAUAGCAUCCAUCUUGAUCUUGUGAUCAUCGACGACAUCCGCAACAUGCAACUCCAAUAUCAUCUUCUCCUACUCAAUUUUUCUAAUUUUUUCCUUCAAGUAAUUGUUUUCUUCUUCAACUAAAUUUAACCUCUCGACAAUAGGGUGGGUUGGAAUUUCCGGUUCAACAACCUCCUAGAUAAAUAAAAUCUAUGUCACGUUGGUCAGCAUAAUUGUCAUAAACAAUAAAUGAACCAAUAGUUAUGAAAAGAUAAUAUAUACCAUAUCCGAAUCAUAGACAGGACGAGGGACGACGGGGGCGGAUACCAAAACCAUCGCACUAUAUAAGAUGCAAUAAUGAAAGUAAGAAAAUAAUACAAGUAUCUAUCUAAAUAUACAAGUAAGAAUAUUUUUCCUUUCAGAAAGAGGAUAAGAACAAGAGGCUCACCACGGUGGUGCCGGCGAUGAGAUCGGCGCGGGUGAUCGACGACGAUGGAGACGGGGACGGGGCGUGACGGACCACUAAACCUAGACAAAUAUUGAGGAAAAUGGAGCUUGGCGGUCGAGCUUGGAGGGGAGAAAGCUUAAGUAGUGUGGCUCGGGCAUUCCAUCGAACACCUCGUGUGCAUAGGAGGUGAGCUAGAGCACCACAAAGCUCUCCCCUCGCCGACCACAAAAAACAGAGCACUGGGAGUGCUCUGCUCGCGAGCAGGGGGUAUAUAUAGGCACCACCAUUGGUCCCGGUUGGUGGCCUGAACCGGGACUAAAGGGCGGCCUUUGGUCCCGGUUCGUGCCACCAACCGGGACCAAUGGUGGUGGGCCAGGAGCGAGGCCCAUUGGUCCAGGUUCGUCCUUCCGACCGGGACCAAAAGGUCCAGACGAACCGGGACCAAUGGCCCACGUGGCCCGGCCGGCCCCCGGGGCUCAAGAACCGGGUCCAAUGCCCCCAUUGGUCCCGGUUCUGGAUUGAACCGGGACUAAUGGGCUGGACCGGCCUGGACCAUUUCCCCCUUUUCUACUAGUGCUUGGCUUGGCGAGAGUGGAAUAGCCGCUCAGCUCUGACCGUCAGCAACGAGGGGACAACAUCACGGAAAUGAUGGCGCCGAGCUUUUAAUAUGGAGCGGCUAGGGUUAGUGGCUUGGGGUGGUGAAUGAGACAUGGACCGAGCUCCAUCCAAUUCACGUACGUACCUGGGCUCGGCGGGCCGGAGUCCGGUAGGAUGGUCCUUAACAUCCUCAACUUAAAUGCCUUUUUCUUUUAUAGAUUUCUUUGCCUCUCGCAUAUCUUCAGGAUUGAGAAAUAGAAUACCCCUUUUCUUCGGAGUUGGCUUCAGAGUUGGUUCGAGAAGUCUCCAAUCAUUUUCAUUACCCAAUAUAUUAUGCAAUAGCAAUUCAGCUUGCUCAACAGUUCUUUCCCUGAAAACACAACCAGCACAACUGUCCAGGUGGUCUCUGGAAGCAUCAGUUAGUCCAUUAUAAAAAGUAUCAAGUAUUUCAUUUUUCUUGAGAGGAUGAUCAGGCAAAACAUUAAGUAAUCGGAGAAGCCUUCCCCAAGCUUGUGGGAGACUCUCUUCUUCAAUUUGCAGAAAAAACUAAAUAUUUCUUAUAAAGCAGCUUGUUUCUUAUGAGCGGGGAAAUAUUUUGCAAAGAAGUGACAAAUCAUAUCCUGGGGACUACGCACACAACUAGGAGCAAGAUAAUUAAACCAUAUCUUAGCAUCACCCUUUAAUGAGAAAGGAAACAAUUUAAGAAUAUAGUAAUAGCGGAUUUUUUCAUCAUGAGCAAAUAGGGUAGCUAUAUCCAAUUUAGUAAGAUGUGCCACAACAGUUUCACAUUCAUAACCAUGAAAAGGAUCAGAUUCAACCAAAGUAAUUAACUCAAGAUCGACAGAGAAUUCAUAAUCCUUAUCAGUAACAAUGUUAGGUGAAGUAGCAAAAGCGGGAUCAUAUUUCACGCUAGAAUUCAAGGAUUUUUCUUUCAACUUAACUAACAUUUUCUUAAGAUCCUCUCUAUCAUUGCAAGCAAAGAAGUCUCUAGUAGUUUCUUCAUCCAUAACAUAACCCUCAGGAACAACAAGCAAUUCAUAUCUAGGGGGAGAAUCAUAAUCAUAAUUUUCAAUAAUAUCAUCAGUUUCAGUAAUUUCAUUAUCUCUAACCCUAGAUGGUUGUUCAUCAAGAAAUUCACCUAGUGGCAUAGUAUUACCAAGCAGAGAAAUAAUUUCAUCAUACGCAUCAUGCAUAGUAGAAGUGGCAUCAUCAAUAACAUGCGACAUAUCGGAAUCAGUAGCAGGUGGAGGUGUCGCAAGUGUACUCAAAAUAGAAGGAGAAUCAAGUGUAGAGCUAGAUGACAGUUCCUUAAUUCCCCUCGUAGUUGAGGGAAAAAUCUUAGUUAUUUGAUCUUUCAAAUUCCUCAUAGUGAUCAAUAGAUAUAAAUCCCAAGUGACUCAGAGAAUAGAGCUAUGCUACUCGGCAACGGCGCUAGAAAAAGGUCUUGAUAACCCACAAGUAUAGUGAUCGCAAUAGUUUUCGAGGGUAGAGUAUUCAACCCAAAUUUAUUGAUUCGACACAAGUGAGCCAAAGAAUAUUCUUGAGUAUUAGCAGCUGAGUUGUCAAUUCAACCACACCUGAAAGACUUAAUACCUGCAACAAAGUAUUUAGUAGCAAAGUAGUAUGGAAGUAACGAUAACAGUAGCAGUUUUGUAGCAAUUGUAACAGUGGCAACGGAAAAGUAACGAAGCAAAGAUCAAUAUGUGAAAAGCUCAUACGUAAUGGAUCCAUGAUGGAUAAUUAUGUUGGAUAGCAUUCAUCAUGCAACAGUUAUAACAUAGGGUGACACAGAACUAGCUCUAGUUCAUCAAUAUAAUGUAGGCAUGUAUUCCGUAUAUAGUCAUACAUGCUUAUGGAAAAGAACUUGCAUGACAUCUUUUGUCCUACCCUCUCGUGGAAGCGGGGUCCAAUUAUAAGUAAGGGACAUUAAGGCCUCCUUUUAAUAGAGUACGGAACCAAGGCAUUUGCACUUAGUGAAUACAUGAACUCCUCAAACUACGGUCAUCACCGGGAGUGGUCCCGACUAUUGUCACUCCGGGGUUGUCGUAUCAUUACACGUAGUAGGUAACUAUAACUUGCAAUAUCGGAUCAAGAACACAAAUAUAUUCAUAAAAACAUAAUAGGUUCACAUCUGAAAUCAUGGCACUCGGGCCCUAGUGACAAGCAUUAAGCAUAGCAAAUUCAUAGCAACAUCAAUCUUAGAACAUAGUGGAUACUAGGGCUCAAACCCUAGCAAAACUAACUCGAUUACAUAGUAUGUCUCAUCCAAUCCAUCACAGUCCAGCAAGCCUACGAUGGAAUUACUCACGAACGGCGGUGAACAUCAUGAAAUUGGUGAUGGAGGAUGGUUGAUGAUGACGAUGGCGACGGAUUCCCCUCUAUGGAGCCCAAAACGGACUCGAAAUCUGCCCUCCCGAGGAAGAGGCUUGGCGACGGCUCCGUAUCGUAAAACGCGAUGAAUCCCCCUCUCUGAUUUUUUUCUCCCCGAAAGUGAAUAUAUGGAGUUGGAGUUGAGGUCCCUAGAGGUCUAGGGGGCCCACAAGGUCGGAGGGCGCGCCCCAGGGGUGUGGGCCCCUGGUGCUGAUUCUUUCGCCAAUAUUUUUUAUUAAUUCCAAUAGUUAUCUUCAUGUGGUUUAAGGUCAUUCUUCUACAAUCUAAACUAAACUACAGGAAAUGCACCAGCGCAAAUACUACUAAACAGAGAGAAGAGUUGUAACCAGAGGCAACAACAUGCUCCUUACUUGAGUUAGACAACACAGAGAGAAAAAAAAUGCCACAGGUGGCAACAGCAGGACAACAUUGGUCCCUUCUUCUGCUUACAAAUGGAAGCUAGCCAGGCAGCAAAACACCAACCACACGACAGCCCCCGCUAGCAGCGGCCAGGCCAAUUCUCCGUUCUUCUCCAUGGUUCCAAAACAAGAGCAAAAUCAGCCACACUCACAACAAUGUUUGACGACACCGUCCAUCAAGAGCUCGCAUCACCUUCCAAGUAAUGCUGACGCAGGUGUCUCCUGAGAAAACACAAAUUUGACCCGAGAAAACAUAAAUUUGAUGACGUAACAAAUAAUAGAUCCCGAGUAUACACAUCUCCAUACUUCGGAGCUAUUCACUCAAGGAAAAAUUAUACAUAGACACAAGUUUUUACAGCUUCCACACAAUAUAUCAGCAGACGCUUCUAAACCUAGGGAAAAUUACAACUUCACCAUCAGAUUUGUAAUUCAUAAAAAACAAGAGGGAUGGGACACAACAUUGCUAAACUGACAACAGAGGAAUAAAUUUAUACUACAAUGUAACCAAGGUGCUCAACAUACUACCAAACUGAGGAAGAAUUCAUAUCUCCAUACAUCUGAGCACAUUAAAGCAAAAUAUAUUCACUCAAGGACAAAUUCUACAUAGACACUUCUAAAACAUCAAAAGCCAACAAUAUAUCAGCAGACACUUCCUAUUAGGUGUUCAUCAGGAUGUUUUGUUCCAUCUCCUGUAAAAGUAUUAGCUAGUAGUUUUUCUAACAUACCCGAAGGAACUUCAAAGGGAAUAAUUUCAUUUUCAGUAGGUUCAAUAGGCUGAGGAGCAACUCUUUGCUCUACUGGUCGGGGUGAAGGUACCCCGAACAAGCCCCUCAAAGGAUUACUUUCCAUAGUAACAAGUGACAGUAAAUUUCAGCACACUACAUAAAUUUUUCCUUACCAAAUUCCACCUACCAAAGGUGCUUCACACCCCGGCAACGGCACCAGAAAAGAGUCUUGAUGACCCACAAGUAUAGGGGAUCUAUCGUAGUCCUUUCGAUGAGUAAGAGUGUUGAAUCCAACGAGGAGCAGAAGGAAAUGAUAAGCAGUUUUCAGCAAGGUAUUCUCUGCAAGUACUGAAAUAAGUGGUAACAGAUAGUUUUGUGAUAGGAUCAUUUGUAAUGAGGAACAAGUAACAAAAGUAAAUAAAGUGCAGCAAGGUGGCCCAAUCCUUUUGUAGCAAAGGACAAGUCUGGACAAACUCUUAUAUAAGGAAAAGCGCUCCCAAGGACACAUGGGAAUAUCGUCAAGCUAGUUUUCAUCACGUUCAUAUGGUUCGCGUUCGGUACUUUGAUAAUUUGAUAUGUGGGUGGACCGGUGCUUGGGUGCUAUUCUUACUUGAACAAGCAUCCCACUCAUGAUUAACCUCUAUUGCAAGCAUCCGCAACUACAACAAAAGUAUUAAGGUAAACCUAACCAUAGCAUGAAACAUAUGGAUCCAAAUGAGCCCCUUACGAAGCAACUCAUAAACUAGAGUUUAAGCUUCUGUCACUCUAGCAACCCAUCAUCUACUUAUUACUUCCCAAUGCCUUCCUCUAGGCCCAAAUAAUGGUGAAGUGUUAUGUAGCCGACGUUCACAUAACACCACUAGAGGCUAGACAACAUACAUCUCAUCAAAAUAUCGAACGAAUACCAAAUUCACAUGACUACUAAUAGCAAGACUUCUCCCAUGUCCUCAGGAACAAACGUAACUACUCACAAAGCAUAUUCAUGUUCAUAAUCAGAGGGGUAUUAAUAUGCAUAAAGGAUCUGAACAUAUGAUCUUCCACCAAUUAAACCACCUAGCAUCAACUACAAGGAGUAAUCAACACUACUAGCAACCUACUAGUACCUAUCCCGGACUUGGAGACAAGAAUUGGAUACAAGAGAUGAACUAGGGUUUGGAGAGGAGAUGGUGCUGGUGAAGAUGUUGAUGGAGAUUGCCCUCUCCCGAUGAGAGGAGCAUUGGUGAUGGCGAUGAUUUCCCCCUCCCGGAGGGAAGUGUCCCCGGCAGAACAGCUCUGCCGGAGCCCUAGAUUGGUUCCGCCUCGUGGCCGUGGAGUUUCGUCCCGAAAGGUUGCUUAUGAUUUUUUCCUCGACGAAAGACCUCAUAUAGCAGAAGAUCGCCAUUGGAGAGCCAACAGGGGGCCCAUGAGGUAGGGGGCACGCCCUGGGGGGUAGGGCGCGCCCCCACCCUCGUGGACAGGUGGGCCCCCCUCUGGUGAACUUCUUCCACUGGAUAUUUUUUAUUAUUUCCCGAAAUGACUUUCGUGGAGUGUCAGGACUUUUGGAGUUGUGUAGAAUAGGUCUCUAAUAUUUGCUCCUUUUCCAGUCCAAAAUUCUAGCUGCCGGCAUUCUCCCUCCUUAUGUAAACCAUGUAACAUAAGAGAGAAUAGGCAUAAGUAUUGUGACAUGAUGUGUAAUAACAGCCCAUAAUUCAAUAAAUAUAGAUAUAAAAGCAUGAUGCAAAAUGGACGUAUCAACUCCCCCAAGCUCAGACCUCGCUUGUCCUCAAGCGGAAGCCGGUAACGAUAAAUGUGUCCCCAUGUUUAGAGCUAGAGGUGUCGAUAAAAAUAAAAUACGAACAUGAAGGCCUCAUGAUUAUUCUCAUAACAGCAACAUAUAUAGAUAUUGUCAUAUGAUUUCUUAUGCUCAAGUAAUAAUUUAUUCACAAUGUAAAUUACGAAUCAUAAACUUUAUUGAGAACCAACAAACCAUAAUCUCGGUCAUUGAAGCAAUUGCACUUUAUCAUAACAUCAGAAAGAGUCUAUGUCAGAGCUUAAUAGCAAGUCUACAUACGCAACUAUCAUUUAAUAUUUCAUAAUUGCUAACACUCACGCAAUAUAUACUUGUGGUUACGGAGUCUUAAUCGGACACAAAGAAAGAUAGGGGCUUAUAGUUUCGCCUCCCAACCUUUUACCUCAAGGGUAAUGCAAACAAUAAUAACUCAUGCUCCCCUACAUCCAAUUAGAUAUAUCCAUCAGGAUCUUUCCAACAUACUGUGCUUGCCAAAGGAUAAAAUGUAAAAAGGAAGGGUGAAGAUCACCAUGACUCUUGCAUAAGGUAGAAGAUGAUAAUAAAAGAUAGGCCCUUCGCAGAGGGAAGCAUAGGUUUCCAUGCGCUUUUAUGGUUGGAUGCACAAAAACUUAAUGCGAAAGAACGUCACUUUAUAUUGCCCCAUGUGAUAUGAACCUUUAUUAUGCAGUCUGUCGCUUUUAUUACUUCCACAUCACAAGAUCGUAUAAAGCUUAUUUCUCCCACACCAAUCAAUCAUACAUAUUUAGAGAAAUUUUUAUUGCUUUGCACCGAUGACAACUUACUUGAAGGAUCUUACUCAAUCCAUAGGUAGGUAUAGUGGACUCUCAUGGCAAAACUGGUUUAAGGGUUUUUGGAAGCACAAGUAGUAUCUCUACUUGGUGCUGAGAAUUUUCCUAGCAUGAGGGGGAAAGGCAAGCUCAGCAUGUUGGAUGAUCCAUGACAACAUACUUUAUCUCAGAUAUAAGAAAACAUAACUCAUUAUGUUGUCUUCCUUGUCCAACAUCAACUCUUUAGCAUGUCAUAUUUUAAUGAGUGCUCCCAAUCAUAAAAGAUGUCAAUGAUAAUAUAUUUAUAUAUGAAACCCCUCUUUCCUUAUUACUUCCUAUUAAUUGCAACGAUGACCAAAGCUAUGUUUGCCAACUCCCAACAACAUUUAAACAUCAUACUCUUUCUAUGUGAAGUCAUUACUCUCAAUUAGAUCAAUAUGAACUCUUAUUAUUUUUAUUAUUUUUCUCUUUUCUUUUAUUCACUCAAGAUCAUGGCAAUACGAUCAAGCCCUUGACUCAACACUAAUCUUUAUUAUAUAGCUCACAGACUCGAUUACAUAGAGAGAUCAUAAAGCAAAAACUCAAAACUAGAUCAUGCCAUAAACUUUAUUCUACUAGAUCAAGAUACUACUAAUAGAAUCGAACUAAGAAAAUGGUAAAGAUAUGAGUGUGAUGGUGAUACGAUACCGGGGCACCUCCCCCUAGCUUGGCAGUUGCCGAGGGGAGUGCCCAUACCCAUGUGAUUAUGUCUCCUUCUUUGUCGAUGGUGUAAUAUUCUUGACGAUGAUGCCCCUCAAGAUACGAUUCUCCUCCUCGAGCUUAUUGACUUGGUGCUUGAGAUCUAUUAUUUCCUUACGAAGCUUUCCUGUGACUGCUAAAGCUCCUUGCACCCAAGGGUGUUGCAUAGCUGCGGGAGAACAAGUGACACUCCUCUUCAUAUUUUCAUAAGAAAGAAAUCUAACAUUGGAAGGGAUAACCGAGUUUGGAAUAGCUGAGCUAUGUAGUUCCCCCAUCGUCUACCCAGCUCGGAAGCGAGAAGUGACUUCUUGAUCCUCCAUGGCAUCUACCCUCAUCAAAUUAGCCUCCAUCUCUUCCUCCGUUCCUGGCCCAAAGUGGUCAGCGUCGCUGUUUGCCCUUGGUUCCGAUGCCGGAUGAGAUACCCGGCUCUCCCCGACUAACUCUUGGGAAGACAUCUUGCUCUAAUCUGCAACACCAACAGCUCAAAACAAAAACAGAGGAUAUUUCCGUGAUACAGGGGUCAUAACCUUCGGGAGAAUAUAUAAUGAUUUUUUACCGACCAAAAUAUGUAUCGUGCAAGAAAACGGAGUCCGGAAGGCACACGAGGUUCCCACGAGGUAGGGGGCGUGCCCAGGGGGUAGGGCGCGCCCUUCACCCUCGUGGGGCCCUCGUGUCCUUCCCGGAUUGCUACUUAUUUUUCUAUUUUUAUAAAUAUUCCAAAAUAGAGAAAUAUUGCCUUUAAAACUGUUUUGGAGUCGGUUUACUUACCAUACCACAUACCUAUUCCUUUUCGGAGUCUGAAACGUUCUGAAAAGUGUCCCUUAUGUAUUCCUCUGGGGUUACGGUUUCGAUAACAUUGGUUUCAACAUUUAUGGGAUUACCUGAGAUAUAAUGUUUGAUUCUUUGACCUUUUACCACCUUCGGAUUUUUGCCUUCGAAGUUGUUGAUUUUUAUGGCACCGGAACGAUAGACCUCCUCAAUAUCGUAGGGGCCUUCCAAUUUAGAGAGAAGUUUUCCUACAAAAAAUCUUAAACGAGAGUUGUAUAGCAAUACAUAAUCACCUACAUUAAACUCACGCUUUUGUAUCCUUUUGUCAUGCCAUCUUUUUACUUUUUAUUUAAACAAUUUGGCAUGUUCAUAAGCUUGGGUUCUCCAUUCAUCAAGUGAGCUAAUAUCAAAUAACCUCUUCUCACCGGCAAGUUUAAAAUCAUAGUUGAUCUCUUUAAUAGCCCAAUAUGCCUUAUGUUCUAGUUCGAGAGGUAAGUGACAUGCUUUUCUGUAAACCAUUUUAUACAGAGACAUACCCAUAGGAUUUUUAUAUGCAGUUCUAUAGGUCUAUAAUGCAUCAUCAAGUUUCUUGGACCAAUUCUUUCUAGACCUAUUGACAGUCUUUUGCAAAAUUAAUUUGAGCUCUCUAUUACUCAAUUCUACUUGACCACUAGACUGUGGGUGAUAAGGAGAUGCAAUUCUAUGAUUAACAUCAUAUUUAGCAAGCAUUUUAUAGAAAGCACCAUGAAUAAAAUGUGAACCACCAUCAGUCACUAAAUAUCUAGGGACUCCAAACCUCGGAAAAAUAACUUCCUUAAGCAUUUUAAUAGAAGUGUUAUGAUCAGCACUACUAGUUGGAAUAGCUUCUACCCACUUAGUAACGUAAUCAACAGCAACUAAAAUAUGUGUAUAUCCAUUAGAGGCAGGAAAAGGUCCCACAUAAUCAAAGCCCCAAACAUCAAAUGGUUCAAUAACGAGUGAAUAAUCCAUAGGCAUUUCUUGACGUCUACUUAUAUUACCAAUUCUUUGAUAUUCAUCACAAGAUAAGACAAACUUACGGGAAUCCUUGAAGAGAGUGGGCCAAUAAAACCCGGAUUGCAAUACCUUAUGUGCAGUUCUAUCUCCAGCGUGGUGUCCUCCAUAAGCUUCAGAAUGACACUUGCGUAGGAUAUGUUUCUGUUCAUGCUCAGGUACACAAUGUCUAAUAACACCAUCUACUCCUUCUUUAUAAAGAUGUGGGUCAUCCCAAAAGUAAUGUCUCAAAUCAUAGAAAAACUUUUUCUUUUGUUGGUAUGUGAAACUAGGCGGUAUGAAUUUAGCAACAAUGUAAUUAGCAUAAUCAGCAUACCAUGGAGUACUACGAGAAGUAUUUAUGACAUUUAAUUGCUCAUCAGAAAAGCUAUCAUCAAUAGGUAGUGGGUCAUAAAGAACAUUUUCUAACCUAGACAAGUUGUCUGCAACGGGGUUCUCAGCUCCCUUUCUAUCAACAAUAUGCAAAUCAAAUUCUUGUAGCAAGAGAACCCAUCUAAUAAGUCUAGGUUUAGCAUCUUUCUUUUCCAUAAGAUAUUUAAUAGCAGCAUGAUCUGUGUGAAUGGUUACUUUAGAAUCAACAAUAUAAGGUUUGAACUUAUCACAAGCAAAUACAACUGCUAAGAGUUCUUUUUCAGUAGUAGCAUAAUUUCUUUGAGCAUUGUCUAGAGUCUUACUAGCAUAAUGGAUAACAUUUAAUUUCUUAUCAACUCUUUGCCCUAGAACAGCACCUACAGCAUAAUCACUAGCAUCACACAUAAUUUCAAAGGGUAAAUUCCAAUCAGGUGGUUGAACAAUUGGUGCAGAGAUCAAUGCCUUAUUAAGUAUUCAAAUGCUUCUACACAAUCAUCAUCAAAGACAAAUGGUAUAUCUUUUCAUAAUAAAUUAGUCAGAGGCCGAGAAAUUUUUGAGAAGUCCUUAAUGAACCUCCUAUAAAAUCUGGCAUGACCAAGGAAACUUUUUAUACCAUUGAUGUCCUUGGGACAUGGCAUCUUUUCAAUAGCAUCAACCUUAGCUUUGUCAACUUCAAUACCUCUUUCAGACACUUUAUGCCCCAAGACAAUACCUUCAUUAACCAUAAAGUGGCACUUUUCCCAAUUCAAGACAAGAUUAGUUUCUUCACAUCUCUGCAAAACUCGAUCAAGAUUGCUCAAGCAAUCAUCAAAAGAAGAUCCAUAAACGGAAAAGUCGUCCAUGAAAACCUCACAAAUCUUUUCACAAAAGUCAGAGAAUAUAGCCAUCAUGCAUCUUUGAAAGGUAGCGGGUGCAUUACAUAAACCAAAAGGCAUGCGUCUAUAAGCAAAAGUACCAAAAGGGCAUGUAAAAGUAGUCUUUGAUUGAUCUUUAGCUGACACGGGUAUUUGAGAGAAACCAGAAUAACCAUCUAGAAAGCAACAAUGUGUAUGUUUGCAUAAUAUUUCUAACAUUUGAUCGAUAAAAGGUAAGGGGUAAUGAUCUUUCUUAGUAGCCUUAUUUAAUUUGCAGAAAUCAAUUACCAUCUUGUAACCUGUAAUAAUUCUUUGCGGAAUCAAUUCAUCUUUAUCAUUAGGAACAAUAGUAAUACCUCCCUUCUUAGGGAUACAAUGGACAGGACUUACCCACUGACUAUCAGCAACAGGAUAAAUUAUACCUGCCUCCAGAAGCUUUAGUAUUUCUUUUCUUACUACUUCUUUCAUUUUAGGAUUAAGCCUUCGUUGAUGAUCACGAACUGGUUUGGCAUCUUCUUCCAGAUUUAUUUUGUGUUGACAUAGAGUGGGGCUAAUGCCCUUAAGAUCAUCAAGAGUAUAUCCAAUAGCAGCACGGGUGCUUCUUCAGAGUUUUCAAUAAUCUCUCUUCUUCAUGCUCUGAAAGGUUAGCACUAAUAAUACCAGGAUAUAUUUUCUUUUCAUCAAGAUAAGCAUAUUUAAGAUUAUCAGGCAACGGUUUAAGCUCAAACACGGGAUCACCCUUGGGUGGAGGAGGAUCCCCUAAGAUUUCAAUAGGCAAAUUGUGUUUCAGAAUAGGUUCCUGUUUAAAGAAUACUUCAUCUAUUUCCCUUCUUUCAUUCAUAAACAUAUCAUUUUCAUGGUCUAGCAAAUAUUGUUCUAAAGGAUCACUAGGAGGUACGGCAAUAGAAGCAAGACCAAUAAUUUCACCCUUACUAGGCAGUUCUUCUUCACGGUGUUGUAUACUAAAUUUAGAGAAAUUAAACUCGUGAAUCAUAUCAUUCAAGCCAAUAGUAACAACAUUCUUUUCGCAGUCUAUCUUAGCAUUAACAAUAUUUAAGAAGGGUCUACCAAAUAUAAUGGUACAAAAGCUAUCUUCUGGGGAACCAAGAACAAGAAAAUCAGCAGGAUAUUUAGUUUUCCCACACAAGACUUCAACAUCUCUAACAAUUGCCAUUGCUGACAUAGUAUCUCUAUUAGCAAGCUUAAUUGUGACAUCAAUAUCUUCUAACUCAGUAAGUGCAAUUUCAUGCUUAAUUUCUUCGUAUAAAGUAUGCGGUAUAACACUAGCACUAGCACCCAUAUCACAUAAGCCAUGAUAACAAUGAUCUCCUAUAUUAACAGAAAUAACAGGCACGCCUACCACAGGUCUAUGUUUAUCUUUAGCACAAGGUUUGGCAAUUCUAGCGGUUUCACCGCAGAAAUGAAUAACAUGCCCAUCAAUAUUAUCAGCCAAGAGAUCUUUAACAAUAGCAAUAUUAGGUUCAACUUUAAGUUGCUUAGGAGGUGUAUAAGUUCUAAUAUUGCUUUUAUGAACCACAGUUGAAGCUUUAGCAUGAUCCUUUAUCCUAACAGGGAAAGGUGGUUUCUCAACAUAAGAAGUAGGAACAAGAGGAUCAUUACAAGUGACAGUCUUUUCUUCAACUUUAGUCGGUGCAGCUACUUUUACUUCUAUGGGAGGAUGAUAUUUAAACCAAUUCUCCUUGGGGAGAUCAACAUAAGUAGCAAAAGAUUCACAGAAAGAAGCUACUAUCUCAGAGUCAAGUGCAUAUUUAGUGCUAAAUUUACGGAAAACAUCGGUAUCCAUAAAAGACUUAACACAAUCAAACUUAGGUGUCAUACCUGACUCCUUACCUUCAUCGAGAUCCCAAUCUUCAGAGUUGCUUUUAAUUCUAUCCAAUAAAUUCCAUUUGAAUUCAAUAGUUUUCAUCAUAAAAGAGCCAGCACAAGAAGUAUCGAGCACGGUGCGAUUGUUUUCAGAAAGCUGAGCAUAAUUUUUUUGAAGAAUUAUUUCUUUUGAGAGCUCAUGAUUGGGGCAUGAACAUAACAUCGAUUUAAGCCUCCCCCAAGCUUGAGCGAUGCUUUCUCCUUCACGAGGCCAAAAAUUAUAUAUAUAAUUGCGAUCGCGAUGAACACGAUGCAUAGGAUAAUACUUUUGAUGAAAUUCCAACUUCAUUCAUUUAUAGUUCCAUGACCUCGUAUCAUCACAUAGCCUAUACCAUGUUGAUGCGUCUCCCUUCAAAGAUAAAGGGAAGACCUUCUUCUUAACAACAACAUCGGGUAUACCUGCAAGUUUAAAUAAUCCACAAACUUCAUCCACAUAUAUUAGGUGUUCAUCAGGAUGUUUUGUUCCAUCUCCUGUAAAAGUAUUAGCUAGUAGUUUUUCUAACAUACCCGAAGGAACUUCAAAGGGAAUAAUUUCAUUUUUAGUAGGUUCAAUAGGUUGAGGAGCAACUCUUUGCUCUACUGGUCGGGGUGAAGAUACCCCGAACAAGCCCCUCAGAGGAUUACUUUCCAUAGUAACAAGUGACAGUAAAUUUCAGCACACUAUAUAAAUUUUUCCUUACCAAAUUCCACCUACCAAAGGCGCUUCACUCCCCGGGAACGGCGCCAGAAAAUAGUAUUGAUGACCCACAAGUAUAGGGGAUCUAUCAUAGUCCUUUCGAUAAGUAAGGGUGUCGAACCGAACGAGGAGCAGAAGGAAAUGAUAAGCGGUUUUCAGCAAGGUAUUCUCUGCAAGUACUGAAAUAAGUGGUAACAGAUAGUUUAGUGAUACGAUAAUUUGUAACGAGCAACAAGUAACAACAGUAAAUAAAGUGCAGCAAGGUGCCCAAUCCUUUUGUAGCAAAGGACAAGCCUGUACGAACUCUUAUAUAAGGAAAAGCGCUCUCGAGGACACAUGGGAAUAUCGUCAAGCUAGUUUUCAUCAUGUUCAUAUGGUUCGCGUUCGGUACUUUGAUAAUUUGAUAUGUGGGUGGACCGGUCCUUGGGUGCUGUUCUUACUUGAACAAGCAUCCCACUUAUGAUUAACCUCUAUUGCAAGCAUUCGCAACUACAACAAAAGUAUUAAGGUAAACCUAACCAUAACAUGAAACAUAUGGAUCCAAAUCAUCCCCUUACGAAGCAACGCAUAAACUAGGGUUUAAGCUUCUGUCACUCUAGCAACCGAUCAUCUACUUAUUACUUGCCAAUGCCUUCCUCUAGGCCCAAAUAAUGGUGAAGUGUUAUGUAGUCGACGUUCACAUAACACCACUAGAGGCUAGACAACAUACAUCUCAUCAAAAUAUCGAACGAAUACCAAAUUCACAUGACCACUAAUAGCAAGACUUCUCCCAUGUCCUCAAGAACAAACGUAACUACUCACAAAGCAUAUUCAUGUUCAUAAUCAGAGGGGUAUUAAUAUGCAUAAAGGAUCUGAACAUAUGAUCUUCCACCAAUUAAACCAACUAGCAUCAACUACAAGGAGUAAUCAACACUACUAGCAACCUACUAGUACCUAUCCCGGACUUGGAGACAAUAAUUGGAUACAAGAGAUGAACUAGGGUUUGGAGGGGAGAUGGUGCUGGUAAAGAUGUUGAUGGAGAUUGCCCUCUCCCGAUGAGAGGAGCAUUGGUGAUGGCGAUGGUGAUGAUUUCCCCCUCCCGGAGGGAAGUGUCCCCGGUAGAACAGCUCUGCUGGAGCCCUAGAUUGGUUUCGCCAAGGUUCCGCCUCGUGGCGGCGGAGUUUCGUCCCGAAAGGUUGCUUUUGAUUUUUUCCUUGGCGAAAGACCUCAUAUAGCAGAAGAUGGCCAUCGGAGAGCCAACAGGGGGCCCACGAGGUAGGGGGCGCGCCCCCACCCUCGUGGACAGGUGGGCCCCCUCUGGUGAACUUCUUCCGCUGGAUAUUUUUUAUUAUUUCCCAAAAUGACUUUCGUGGAGUUUCAGGACUUUUGGAGUUGUGCAGAAUAGGUCUCUAAUAUUUGCUCCUUUUCCAGCACAGAAUUCCAGCUGCCGGCAUUCUCCCUCCUUAUGUAAACCUUGUAAAAUAAGAGAGAAUAGGCAUAAGUAUUGUGACAUAACAUGUAAUAACAGCCCAUAAUGCAAUAAAUAUCGAUAUAAAAGCAUGAUGCAAAAUGGACGUAUCACCCUCCGUGAUGGGUUCCCCUUCCGGCGAAGCUCCGGAACAGGCCCCAAGAUGGGAUCUCGUGGGUACAGAAGGUUGCAGCGGUGGAAUUAGGUUUUUGGCUCCGUAUCUGAUCGUUUGGGGGUACGUAGGUAUAUAUAGGAGGAUGGAGUAUGUCAGUGGAGCAACAGGUGGGCCAUGAGGGUGGAGGGCGCGCCUGGGGGGUUGGCGCGCCCCCCUACCUCGUGCCUUCCUCUUUUCGUUCUUGACGUAGGGUCCAAGUCUCCUGGAUCAUGUUCGGUGAGAAAAGCACGUUCCCGAAGGUUUCAUUCCGUUUGGACUCCGUUUGAUAUUCCGUUUCUUCGAAACUCUGAAACAGGCAAAAAACAGCAAUUCUGGGCUGGGCCUCCGGUUAAUAGGUUAGUCCCAAAAAUAAUAUAAAAGUGGAAAAUAAAGCCCAAUAAUGUCCAAAACAGUAGAUAAUAUAGCAUGGAGAAAUAAAAGUUUAUAGAUACGUUGGAGACGUAUCAGUGUCAGACAGGGCUGAUUCAGAUAGGGCAUCCAAGUGGGCGCGCAAGAAGGAGAAAAUGUUAUGCUAGUGUUGUGGCGAGAAGGGUCAUUUUAUUGCUGAGUGCGUGGCUGAGUUAUGUGAUACUUGUGGCAAGCCGGCACAUGACUCGGGGGAUUGUCCGCUUCUGCGAGAUCAGGCACCGUCUCUAAUGAUGUAUGGAGUGUAUUGUGCUGAACUCACGUUUUUUGUGUCUCCUAAUGAGAGGGCGGUUCCUCACGAGACCCAGAGCAUGACCACUGGGAUUGUCAAAGUGACCAGAGGAGAGCUCUCUAAGACACAGAUUAUGUAGAGGCUCCGGGAGUUAGCCCCUGUGGACUUCCAGUGGGAGCUCGUCAGUCUCGCGGAAAAUUUGUUCAGGGUUAAGUUCCCUUCGGUAGAAGAUUUGCAGAGGCUUCUGAGUUUUGGGAUGUGCAAAGUGACGGGUACAGAUUGUAUCCUUGAGUUUCAUGAGUGGAAGCAGGUGGAGCCUCAGGGUAAGCCGCUUACUCAGGCGUGGCUGCGUUUCUCCGGGGCUCGCUCGAAGCCGAUGCAGGAUGCUAGAGUCGUGGCUAGUUUGGGCAUUAUGGUGGGGAAGCCUGAGCGAGUGGAUAUGGCUUUUACCAGAGCUCACGGGGUAUCUCAUCUAUUGGUUAGUAUUUUGGACAUUGUGUACGUGCCUAAGGUCGUCAAGUGGACAUAUCGAGGCCAAAUUUAUAACCUUGUGAUUGAGUUUGAGGAUGAGAGCCCGUUCGCCGAGGCGGCUAACAGGACUGAUGUUGAUAUGCACGAGGGAGAUGAUAGCGCGGGAGCGAAGGAGACACCGGUCGAUGAUACUGGACAAGAGUUGUCCAAGGGACCGGGAUCCGGGGCAGGCGGUGGAGGUUCCGGUGGUGGAGGUCUUCUCUUUGGGAGGGGACCCGGGGCAGGCGGCCUCGGUUCUCUCUUCUCCCAUCGCGUUGUCGGAGCUGCAGGUGGCGGCUUCGCCGUCGGGAGGGGGCUCGGGGCAGGUGGCCUCGGUGCCCUCUUCACCUGGGGCGCCUAAGGUGGCCGCCCCUCCUGUGCUGGGUGGGGAGUUCGGGCAGGUGGCCCACGCACUCCCCUCCCCUGGUGCGCUGCGGUCUCCAUGCUGUGGGGCGCGACUAACGUCUGCGGCACUGGCGAGUGCCUCACCGCUUCCUGGUGUUACCGCUGGGGCGUCCAUGGAGGCUGACCGGCGUCGCGUUUGGGGUGAGGCAGGAGGUCCAACCACGGGCAGGAUCUCUCGGGAGGAGGUUAUAACGUUUGGAGGGAUUCCGGAUCCGGUUUCUCAGGGGCGACGGUUGAGCUGCCGUCUCUAGAAUCAUCCGGAGGUUGAUGACAUUCAGCAGCGGUGCACCAUGAGGGCGGCCAAGCUUCGUGACGUUGAGGUCACUACUGGUAUGUCGGUUAAUACAUCUAAUUCCAUUUUGCAUUUUUCUAAUAAUGAGAUUAGUAAUAAUGCAAACCAAUUAGGAGUUUCACUAGGUAGUAAUGAUAGUGAAAUUUCGAAUUCUGUUAAUGAUCUCCUGGAUUUAGAGGCUCAGCGGGCUUUAGAGAUGAUUCGUAACUUAGCAGCGGUUAACCCCAUGAAUGAUUCCGACUUUGAUGCUUUGGGGGUCAGGGUGCUCGAUAAUUUUUGUGCGAAUCUUAUACCUCCCCUACCUGAGUCGGAGGAGGAGGAUGAUACAUCUGAGUAUGUCGUGGUUAGACCUUCUGAGACUGGUUGUGAGGACCCGCUGCAGAGUCAGAACAUUCCUAAACGCAAAUGUAUCGGAAGGUUUACCCGGUGUCCGCAGUGCGUAGGAGUGCUAGGAUCCAUACAGCAAAAAAAAUUCCAUGAUGAAUUAUGAAAGGAAUCUUUUCGAAUAGUAAAGUCGAACGCAAUGAAGUCAUGGGCACGAAGAACAAGCGCACUCACAAGUGGAGCGUGUGGCCGCCGGUAUCGGUCGCCGGGCCCGGUGGGGUAUGCUGGUGCAUCUGAAACUGCAUGGCCACGCGGUGUGGCAAGUGCCACUCGACGGCGUACACACAGAUCAUGGGCACAAUGCACCGCCAAAGACCACUGUCCGCAUCGCACAUCACAUUCAAAUCGAAGUCCCACUCUCUGUCAUCAUACGGCCACCAGUUUACCUAUUACACAUACAUUGGUAAGUUCCCACUCUCAGUAAAAAGUGGAAUCAAAGAGAAAGGUGGUGAGCAAGUUCAUAUACCUGUGUAUGCAUCAAAGCGUCCAUCUCGUUGGUGUAGGUCUUGUACAAAGCCUUGUUUAGGCCCUUGUAGAGUUUGAUAACGUCCCACUCGUAAGCUACGGUGGGGUGUCGAGUCUCCUCGCCGUCUUCGCUAUAGGCACCCCAUGGGCGUCUUGGCAGCUUCUCCGGACGCCCCACCGGCAGCCGCUUCCACAUCAAAAUGGAGAGGGCCCAGACAAAGCCACCCAUACUGGACUUGUCUCCCGUCCUCUGGGUCGCGUCGUCAAGCUGCAAAACAUCAAAUGAGGAUCAGAUAUAACAAAAUGUCAUGGACAUACUUUCGUAGGUAGGCAAUGAGAUACUCUCUUAACGAACGGUAUAGGUAGGCGAGAGAUGCGGUCCCCCAACUGUACCCUGCAUCGCAGUCGGCUAGGAAGAGCAGAUAUGACCAGUUGGCAGAGUUCCUGGAGCUGUCUAGAAACACGACUUCCGUGAGAAGAUACCAUAGGUAGGCCCACGCGCACCACUCCAUAGUCGCCUCAUCGGCGUCUUUGGGGCAUGUGUUCCGGUGCUCCACGAGCCAGGGCAACGAUACACCGGAUGUAUGGUUACCCUUAGCACCGGGGUAGUCGCUGAUGAGGGUGGUAACCCUCUGCUGCCAGUUGGUCCUCUCCACUCGCUCAGUGAGUGCUUGACCCUCGAUCGGCAUGGAAGUAAUCAUCUACCAAUCCUCGAGGGUCACCGUCAUCUCCCCGCAUGGGAGAUGGAAAGAAUGGGUCUCCGGUCGCCACCGGUCAAUCAAAGCUAUCAGAGCUGCGUGGACAAGCGUCGGCGGCUGACGCUUGAACUGCAACACGAAACCCAACAGCCGGGCUCUCUUGAAGUACGGCGCAUAGAGCUCGUCGUAGUCCAUAUUCCCGGCAACCCCGUGACACCUCAUGCGCAGUGGCUGGAGCAUCUAUCAAAAAGUGGAUUGCAAAAGUUAGGAACUUAUUUUCAUCAAUCCAAAAACUUUGAUCAAUAUUUCCUUCAUAUACUUACCACUCUAUUCUCUAUGAAAUGGGCAUGAUGACCCUUGUCGAAUGCGUAGGCAAGCAUGGAGUACCAUGUUGUCCGCAAGAGGUGCCUGCCUUAAUAAAAUUUCAUAAACAAAAGCAUCAUAAGCAUAAGCAUACAUAAAAAAAAUGAAAUUUCUUGAUUUCAUGCACUAGGGUUCAUCUUAAGCAUAUUCCUCCAAUAACAUCUUCUACACAUGAUGGAUCACAUCAUAUCAACAUGCACCAUAUCAAAAUAAAAUCCUCCAACAUGCAUCAUAUUAUCAUUUUUUUAACAAUUUUUUUAAUAGAGUUCAUCUUGAAUGUAUUUUCUCCAAACAACAUCUUCAUAUCAUCAUAUCAACAUGCAUGAUAAAACAAAACAAUCCUCCCACAUGCAUUACAUCAUAAUUUUUUUAACAAAAAAUAUAUUAUGAACUAGGGUUCAUCUUCACACUAACAAAUGAACUAUUGAUUAGAGUUCAGUUCAAGACCACUAGUUACUAAAUAACUAAGAACUAGAACUACAAUCAAGCUAAAACAAUCCUAGGUGAAAAAAAUUCCAAUCUAAAUUCAAAAAUCUGAGGGAUUUCAAGCAAAUAAUGCGACGAAUCGGAAGCAAGUUUGCAAAAACUACUUGGAGGGAUCGGAGGAGCUUACGUUUCUCUCUCCGGGGCCAUCUCGAUCCGCAAAAACGAUGAAGAAACGGUGAAGAUCCGAGGGGGGAGUGGAGGAGAUGAGAGAGGGAGAGAGGGGCGAGGNNNNNNNNNNNNNNNNNNNNNNNNNNNNNNNNNNNNNNNNNNNNNNNNNNNNNNNNNNNNNNNNNNNNNNNNNNNNNNNNNNNNNNNNNNNNNNNNNNNNNNNNNNNNNNNNNNNNNNNNNNNNNNNNNNNNNNNNNNNNNNNNNNNNNNNNNNNNNNNNNNNNNNNNNNNNNNNNNNNNNNNNNNNNNNNNNNNNNNNNNNNNNNNNNNNNNNNNNNNNNNNNNNNNNNNNNNNNNNNNNNNNNNNNNNNNNNNNNNNNNNNNNNNNNNNNNNNNNNNNNNNNNNNNNNNNNNNNNNNNNNNNNNNNNNNNNNNNNNNNNNNNNNNNNNNNNNNNNNNNNNNNNNNNNNNNNNNNNNNNNNNNNNNNNNNNNNNNNNNNNNNNNNNNNNNNNNNNNNNNNNNNNNNNNNNNNNNNNNNNNNNNNNNNNNNNNNNNNNNNNNNNNNNNNNNNNNNNNNNNNCUACCGCCAGGGACCCUGGUGGUUGGGUGCGGCGGAGGGGGACGGUGGUCGUCUCCAAGUGCUGACGUGGAUUAGAUCCCUGGCGGUAGGAUGUCUAACCCUACCGCCAGCACCCCUGGCGGUAAGAAAAAGGGUCAAAUCCCAAAAUUGUUUUCAACCGGGGUCAGAUCCUGAAUUGAUAUACAACAAGGAUCAAAACACGAAAUUUUGCCACCAAUGCUAGCCCAGAAUACACGCGCUGGAAAGGCUCUAGGGGGGAGGGGGGAGCAUGCGUGAAUACAGGGCCAGCUCGGAUCCCAAGCGCGGACGGGCGGUCAGGAUUCCGGCCUGCCUGAUGCUCGGCCUCCACAACACAUGUUCAGGUUGAGCUUAGCACUGCAUUGAGGUGCUCCGUUCAAGAUUCAACUUGGUUGGAGAUCCGUCUGCCUGCCUGCCUGCCGUUUGUCAGCUCACACUACUAGGGAAAAGGCUAUACACAGAAUCUUAGCAGGAGCGAGGGUUAAAAACCCUUGCUACUGCUACUUACUAGCAGCGUAGGUUUUUAAACCUCGCUACUACUAAGUUGAUAGCAGCAGCGCGGGUUUGUAACCCUCGCUACUACUAAGCGGUCUCUACCGUGCCCCCCGGGAUAUGCCAUAGUAGUAGCGCGGGUUUUUAACCCUCGCUACUACUAAGUUGAUAGCAGUAGCGCGGGUUUUUAACCCUCGCUACUACUAACCCGCGCUACUGCUAUCAACUUAGUAGUAGCGUGGGUUAAAAACCCGCGCNNNNNNNNNNCCUUUUCAGUUUUAAAAAAAUAAAAGAAAAUGAUAAAAAUGUCAAAAAAAUAAAAGAAAAUAAGUUUCCCAUGUGAUAUGUGGUCUAGUUGUUGGGAAAAUUUACAAAUAUGAAUUUCGACUUUAUUUGCAAAAUCUCUCUGGAAAUUUGUAAAAUGGCCAUAACUUUUGCAUACGAACUCGGAUGAAAAAGUUUUUUAUAUGAAAAAUCAUCUACUCGAAAAGUUACAUCCGAAUUUAAUCGGGGGAACCCCGUUAAACAUUUUUAAAAUCCUCAAAAGCCUAACAGAAAAAAAGUUACGGGGCUUUUAAGAUCUGGGGGCAAAAAAAUUCAAAAAAAAUCAGUUUUUUUUUAAUUUUUGCUAAAUCUGGUCAAACUAUGGUCAAACUAAUUAUUCAAGAAUAUUGGUGUUACUAAAUAAUUAUUUUAGUUUUUUGAAUUUUGGUCAAAUCUGGUCAAACUAUGGUCAAACUGUGUUCAAAUCUGGUCAAACUGUGGUCAAACUAUGGUCAAACUAAUUAUUCAAGAAAUAUUAGUGUUACUAAUUUUUUAGAACAAUAGUUUCAAACUCAAACAGUGAAAUGUGUGACUUCAUGCUCAAGCUAAAUUCCUGAGGUUAAUAGGAUUGACAUCUUACUAUUGUCAGGAAAACAACAAGUGCAGACUUGGAAACGAGGGAGAAUAGAACCCGGAAGUUAAGCGUGCUCAGGCUGGAGUAGUGAGAGGAUGGGUGACCAUCCGGGAAGUUAGAUGAUUUGGAAUGAUGAGGGGUGAUUAGAGAUUAAAUUGAGCAGCGAUGAGGGGUGAUUAGAGAUUUGAGGUUAAAAUAAUUCAGAAAUUUGAAAAUUAGGGGAAAAAAUUCAAAAAAAAAAUUCAAAAAAAUUAAAAAAAAUUCGGAGAUUACAGAUUAGUAGUAGCGCGGGUUUCUACCCACGCUACUGCUAUAAGUUAGCUGUAGCGCGGGUUGCACCCGCGCUACUGCUAUAAGUUAGCUGUAGCGCCUUAUUAGUAGCGCGGGUACCCGCGCUACUAAUAGGCCCAAAACCCGCGCUGCUGCUAGGCUUUUCCCUAGUAGUGUCAAAUGGGGUACUAUGGAUGAAUUUCGCCUGUCAAAAAGGACAAAAGAGGAGGCAAAAAAUAAAUAAUGGAAUUAACUCUAAAUCACCACUCGGCGGAGUGAAUAGCAAAAAACUACCACAUUACGAGUCAUCGUUCCAAAAAACCUACCGCUUUUUUAAUAUUUUCAAAAAACUACCACAAAAUUGUUUUGCUGUUCCAAAAAACUACCAUGCCGCACUGAUGACUACUUUGGUUAACUUUAAACGUUAUUAUGACAGCUCAGGUCCACUCGUCAGGUUGACUGUUUGAUUUGACCGUUAGUUUGACCAUUGACAGUUUAUGACAGGUGGGGCCUAAGUAUCUAUUUAGCAAAUAGGUCCCUGAAACAAAAUAUAAAAGCAAUCGGGUCCCUGAUUUUUUUAAAAAAAGCAAUCCCGUCCUCCCGUGGAGCUCGUCGCCGGAGCCGGCCAGCACCACGCCGACGAGCUCGUCAGGGCCGUCCAUCUCCGGCCGUGGCCGGCGGGGAGCAGCAGCCGCGGCGGGCUGGAACCGCCCGAGCUCCCUGGUUGCUUCCCACCUGUGCUCGAUCUCGCGGCCAGCGGCGGGGCGGCUGCUCAAGGCCAGCGGCGGGCGGACCUAAGCAGGCGGCGGCGCGUCCCUGGCGUGGUGGUGGUCGGCCCUGGCGGCGGAGGCCAUGGCUGCGCCCGCCGUGGUGGUGGCCGGCCCGGAGGCGCUCCCCAUGGCAUGGUGGUGGUCGGCCCUGGCGGCGGCGGCCGUGGCUGCGCCGGCCGUGGUGGUGGCCGGCUCGGAGGCCCUCCCCAUGGUGUGGUGGUGGCCGGACCAGGCGGCGGCGGCGGCCGUGGCUCCGCCGGCCGUGGCGCUCGGGAUUGAGAGAUAAGGGAGAGAGGGAGGGGAGAGAAGAGAGAUAAGGGAGAGAGAAAGAGAUUACUUACAUGUGGGACCCAGCUGUAAGUUAACGGUCAAACAAACAGUCAACAAACGGUCUGUUUAGGAGCGGGCCCGACCUGUCAUAAACGUGAUUAAUUUUAAGUCAGAUGGUCAUUUGGGUUUUUUGGAACAGCAGAACAAUUUUGUGGUAGUUUUUUAAAAAGAUUAAAAAAGCGGUAGUUUUUUAGAACGAUGACCCGUAAUGUGGUAGUUUUUUGCUAUUCACUCCCACUCGGCGUUACAACAAGAAGGGAAGGUGGUCUUAGUGAGGCUCGAGUACGUACGAUUGGUGGAUGAUCAAUUACGGCCACAUGCCCACAUCCAUGACAUGUGCCCACUGAUCAACUUGGCCAACGACACUAGCUGCCCGUUGUCGGCCUGCACAUCGAAUCCACGACGAGACGAGACGAGCUCGCCAUCGACGCGACACGACACAGACGAUUGGUGGAUUUCAGAUACUCGAUGGCCAAGUUGACCAGUGGGCGGCGCCGCCGUCAUUGGAAGCGAAGAAACUGCAGCACCCUGGCAGGACAGCAGCGUCACCGAGCUGAGCUGGUGGACGACAAGCUGCAGGUGGAGAUCGUGUCCCCUACCGGAGCAGAUCGUGUCAUCAACAGGUUGUAAGUGAUGGCAUCCGUUCACGUCGCCGCCAUGCCGCACUUCCUCUUCGUGCGCCGGCCGGCCGGGGUCCGCGUUCAUCCAGACGGGACGCAGUAGUAGCAGAGUUCCUUCACCCUGUUGCUUGCAGACUAGUUUUGCUCUUCGGGGGAGGCCUACUCUACUUGAGCUAGUACAUGACGCUUCAGUUUGACAGAGAAAUCAGAGGAAAAGUAUGGGUAGCUCGCUGGUAGUUAAUGACAGCAAGCCUGGCCAUUGAACAACAUGCAGAAAUACAUGGCCAUGUUUGAAUAAUUUGGGCACCCAUCAAAAUGGAGGAGGUUGACAAGCACAAAAGUUACGUUCAAUACAUACUGGGGAUCAGCGUCGACAACAGAACAACAUUCAGAGUUCAAGAGUAUAAAGCAACAGAACCGACAACACAACAACAUCCAAAGUUCAAGAUCCAAAGUGCACCGACAACAGAACAGCAUCUAAAGUUCAGCAUCCAAAGUUCAAGAUCCAAGGUGCACCGACAACACAACAGCAUCUAAAGUUCAGCAUCCAAAGUUAAAGAUCCAAGGUGCACCGACAACACAACAACAUCUAAAGUUCAGGAUCCAAAUUGCACCGACAACAGAAGGAUCCAAAGUUCAAGAGGCAAGUGCGACAAGUAAAAAUAAAUAAGUCUUGCUGAGGGCACAGCACAACAAACCCAUACAUAAAACAAUAGCGCUAGUCAGGCUCCGGACGGGGCGGUGUAGCGGAGCUCGGCGAUGAUCCUGUCGAUGCUGCCUCCAAUGCUGUAAGAAGCCACAAAUUUUGCAUAUCGCGUCAGUAGUCGCUGGAAGGUAUCAUACAAGGUAAACAUGCAUGGAAAUGCGGAAGAGUUUGAUUGUGAAUGUGGUCAAUUUCAAUUUCACACAUGGGCUUGCUUUGCAGCCAUGUGCUUAAGGCACCAGUGGCAUUUUUAAGUUUGAUGUUCCAAAACUGCCAACCUGCACUUCGUUGUUCAUUACAGGUGCUUGACUUCAUCCGUGUCAAGGAAAUUCCAGCUAAGCAUAUACCGUAUAGUAAAACGGUGGACCAAAGAUGCUCGCGACAUUCUCUUGGCACACCUUUCCCAUUCCCAGAGGGAUAACAUGGAUCCUAGCCUCUUCUCUUAUUAUGGACACUUAAGCAUGUAUAUGCACGCAAUGGAGAGUUGGUUUGACUCGGUGACACUAGUACCAAUGCUUAUGAUCUGCUCAUCGCCUUGUUCAAUUCUAAUAUUGCGGAAAUGCAACCAUAUGCUGAAACAAGAGAUGGACCAGGACUGGAAGAUCGUCUAGCAGAAAAUGGAGCAAUGGUGCAGCUGGAUAAAGAAGUAAUACAGCGCGGCACUAAAGUUAAACCAGCAGCUGCAGUUAGUGGAGACAACCUUUCAGUUUUUAUGCCUGGAAACAGGUUAGCUUAGAACAGGGCACCCGCAAAAAGGAAAGAGAUUGGGAAACCAACCGCAAGUAGAGAGAAGACCCCAUACGAAAUGCUUAGAAUGAGGACAAGGUUCUGCACAAUAUGUGACAAGACAAUGACAAAGAAACAAGCAAACUACCUGCCUGGGGAAAUAUUCUGAAGCAACCACGCAAACCUACUCGCUGCGAGUGUAGAGGGUCACUGGAGAAACAAUUGUACAAAAGCUGGCUAAAUAGAGACUGGGUGCAGGGGCUUGAGUUUUACAAAGAGUCAGCACUGAUGCCAAAUAGUUAGACAGUAGGAAUCGAAUUCCCUCCAGUUGUGCAUUGCAAAGGGUUCUUUGUUAUCUUGUAUGCUGAGUUGUUGGGCGUAAUUCCAACCUGGGCAACCGAGUUGUUUAUUGAAAUUUGACAGCAAUGGCAUCCUGAAACUAACAUUUUAGAGUAAAAGUACUUGCAUGUGAACAUGCGUGUGUUAUUUGUGCUGUAAUGAUCCCUUAAUCCCUGUGUGGACAAAUAAUUUGAUGCUGGAAUUUGCUCUGUAUGGCUUAACGGGACUGAUUUGGUACAUGUAUUUUAGACUGAAUGAGGGUUGAUGUGCAUCUAAAUCUUCAUGUCCCAUUUGUACGUGGCAGUGCCAGUCAUGUGUGUUGUAGACAUAAAUUGCUUAGGAUCAAAUCCGUGCCCUGUUCCGAAUUAUGAGCCAACAGACAUUUUUUUUAGGGCUAGACAACGAACAGUUGGCGGCGAGGAACACACGGUAGAAGGGUCAGAAUUGGUAGAAAAUGGAUCGGCUCAUUAGUUUUCCAUCUGUCACGAUAGAAAAUGGACCAAAUUAAUAGCAUACCUUUCCUCCAUUAGAUCACCCGCUAGGACCUGCACAUUAAAAAUGCAUAUUAAGCAACAUAAAAAUGGCACAGUCUAUUAAUCAAGUCUAAGCUAAGCUCACAAAUCGAGGUAAAAGACUAAGUCACUGCCACUCCACACACCUUCAAUAGCCGUCGAGUACAAGAUUAUGAUUGUCCAUGACAAGACGAGACCAAGCGACAACUAUCUCCACUUUGGAGCUGCCAACAUGACACUUAAGCAUAGUUGUUUGACACUGCUGGACAGGAAAGUCAACGUGAUUUAUUCGAGAGAUACUGGGUUUGGACUUUGAGUAUGCUCCUAUGACAACUCGGAGUGUGCCCUGCAAUCCCACUGACAUCACAUUUCUUGACAAAGGAAGAUACCCAUCUAAUCCAGCAUGCAUCCUUUCACCACUGCAGUCAAGCAAAACAACUUCCACGGCGCUUCCCAACAAUGCUUCAACAGGAAAAAAGAAGCAAGAAACUUUGCAUCCAUAGUUAAAAGACUCCCCUUCAACCACACGAACACCAACAAUUGUGGCCUGGAUUGAUGGAGCAAAUCGCUCAAGACUUAUCUCUGCUGUACAACAGCGGCUAUUGAUCAGCAUGAUGUCAUACCGCUUCAUGGGGCGGUACCUUUGAUAGGCAGUGAACAAUGCUGUAUCUUUGAACUGCGCUCCAUAUUUCAAUUUUAAUUCAAUUUGAAAGAAAACAGGCUCGUCAGCCACAAUUGCACGAGAUGGGCCAGUCAAGUGCAAAAAGGGGUCCUGCACGCAUAAUUUUCAUCAUUGUCAUCAUUGUCAGUGACACAUCAAGCAAAAUAACAACUAAAAUGCAGUUCAGUUUAACUAGACAUAGCCUAGCAGAGACAUCACAUGGCCAUAAUCUGGCAAUAAUAUGAAGGAAAGAGUUCUCAAACAGAUCAUAGCCUAACAGAGAAAGCACAUGGCCAUAAUUUGGCCAAAAUAUGAAGGGAAGAGUUCCCAAACAGAUCCUAGUAAUCUUUGCUGCUAUAAUACAAAGUUUUGAAUUUAGAUUUAGAACAAGCAGCUUCUGCUUUGUGUUUAUAGUGUGCUUUCUUGAACACUGGCUACCGUACACUUGAACAAACAGACCAGUCAAAAAAUAGACGAGAAGAUAGACAUUAUACAUACCUCUUGCUUAAUUCUUUGGCAGUUUUCCCCUGAACGGCAGAAGAGAAUGUUGCGGUUGUGGUCAAGAUCGUCCCGUGCGGCGACCACGCCGUAGACAUCAAGAGGCCAGCUCAGAUUAGGAUUGAGAUCAACCAGUUUGAUCGAGUAUACUUGCAAGGCAGGACCAGCUACGGAAGGGAACCGGAAGUUUUCGGGCGUGGAGGCCGUGAAGUGCAUAGAACUCAAUGUUGCUGCAGAACAAAGUAAAAUGAUUGCGGACUGUUAGAAAAUAUGCUACUAAAUUUAGCAAAUACAAAUCUAUGCGUAUAAAAGAACAAUUUUUUUUUUGCAGUGAUAUACAAAGACGGAGUUGCAUUUAUUAACUGAGGCCCAAGUAAAGAGAGUAGAAAACAGUUUUUUUUUUUGCUUACUUAUGUCAUCAAAUCCACCGUUUCUUCCGGUCCGGCUGCCCCACGUAGCCUCCCAGCCGUCACGGUCCAAACAAUCUUCAACGUCCUUUUGAGCAGCAGAUUUGUGGCUCUUUAUAAGCUCCGAUAUGCCCACAAGUGCAGUGGAUAUGCGGCGCAGCUUUUCAACCUUCUCCGAUGAGAUGGGGACUCUGAAUGUUUUUAGAGUGGAUGCGAGAGAGGUGAAGCGGAAGAGCAGCUGCUGCGUCUCGACUAAGAGAAAAUCCAUUACCUCCUCCCCAGUCUUGGAACCUAGGUAAGGCAAAUUCACCUCCUUGACCUGUUGCGUGAACAUCUCCUUGAACUGGACGGACAAGUUGGAAAUCUGCUCUUGAGAAACCUUUUUCUUUCCAGCAGGCAACAACCCCCUGGACGUGACUUCUCUCAUCAGAAACGAGAUCUCCCUCCUAAACAUCCCAAGGUGGCCAGAAAGAGCAACAACCAAGUCGUCGUUCGGCAUCUGCCCAAUCUCCAUGCCGCCAGCCGGCUCCUUGCUGGAAUCCCUCACCGUCCCCUUGCUGAUUCCAAAUUGGGGCUCCAUACUUAGGGACUGGUGCUCCUCCGAAUCUCUGCCCAUCUCAUCGCCAGAAUCGGAGUCAACCUCCAUCCCGGACUGCCCCUUCAUCCUGAGGAGUCGUUGCUCGUCGGACAAGACUGCCUGCUGCUGAUGCAAGAGUGCCCUCCGCGUCGCCGGGUCCUUGGCGGACUCGCUCAGCAUCUCGAGUCUGUACCGAGCCUUCCUGAGACUCUUGAGAUCUUUCCUAAGUCUCCUCUCAUACUCCGUCCCCUUGCUGGACUCGUUCUCCGCCACUUCCCUUAUGGGAAACGUUGGGUACCGGCGGAUCGGCCGAAGCUUCGGCCGGUCGCGCACGCACCGCUCGAUCGUGUAGUCAUCCACGGCUCAACAUCUCCCGAUCCAUGUUUGCAUCGCUGGCUUUCUCUUUCUUGGCCCAUCACGUGCCCGUGGCCCAGCACGUACAGCCGCUUGUUCAGCCUUCCUCGUAUCUUCUUCACACGAGGAGCGCACUGGUUGCUCAAAAAAAAAAAAAUCAAGGAGCGCACCCAGGUCGUCUUCAAAGCUUUAUCUUUCACCAACUGCUCGCUGAAGCUUCGAGGUGGGUUGGGGAAAGAGCUGCAACAACAACCCGAUGAAGCUGCAUCCGUUUGUCGGCUAUGUUGUGACCGUGGCGACCAUGGCCAUGCCCACAUCAUGAUGGCGCUGUUAGCUCGAGGGCCGGUGGGGUGCUGCGUGUUGUGACUGUGGUGAUUGUGUGUUGGACCAACGUCGUGGCGUGCUGGAACCAGUGACAAUUUUUGCUGCAUCGCCUCAUGGUGGAGCUAGGACGCGACGACAAGGACAACAAUUUUUGUUGCAACUGUCGUUCAAUUUUGCUACAAUCGAUGAGAAAAUUUGCUACAUAAAUUAAUGCCAGAGAUGCAACCUGGGACGACAACAAGGACAAUUCUUGUUGCAGCUGUCGUUGGAUUUUGCUACAAUCGUUGACAAAAUCUGCUACAUCUCUCGUUAUUUUUCUGCUACAUAAAUCUUUAUUUUUUCGCUUCCUUCUUCCUAUUGCCUCGUUGCUUCUUUCCUCUCUCGUUAGGCUGCAAGCAUCUCCUUUCUCACGCACCUCAAACUGUUCCCCUGCCGAUGCUACAACUGGACAGAUCUUUUGCUGGAAUAUGUGGCAAUUUUUGCUGAAAUCGGCGUUGCUUUUUGCUGCGUGUGUGCUGCAACCAGAUCUAUGCAACCGGAAAGCUGAAACUGGCACGUGAGAAAGUAACAACCGUCCAUGAAAAAACAUCAACCGGCUAUGGCUGAAGCCGGCCAGUGCUGCAACCAUUGGCAGAAAAAGGUUCAACCGUAUAUGAAAAAGCUUCAAUCAGGCACUAUGCAGCGAAAAAAGGUGCGACCAUAGAUGAAAAAAGCUUCAACCGGACAGUGCGCAACAGAAAAAGUUACAACCAUUGAUAGAAAAAGCUUCAACCGUAGAUGAAAAAAGCUUCAACCAAAGAUAGGCAAUGAAAAAAAACUACAUAAAGGCUCUAGUUUCCACGGAAGCUGCAACCGGCGUCGGCGGGUGCUGCAACUGGCGAAGACCAAUGCUACAGCAGCGAUGGUGAAGCUGCAACCGUGCAGUUCAUAGCUACAACCCGACAUGAAAAAAGCUGUGAGCGAGCAUGGAAGCUACGACCGGUGAUGAGAAAAAGCUACAACCGUCGAGCACGGAAGCUGCAACCGGCAACAAAAAAGGUACCACCGACUAGCCCAGAAGCUACGACCGGCGUGCAAAAAAGUUUCAACCAUCGCGUGAUUUUAUUGUAGCUAGCCCAAGUCUGUUUACGAGAGCUUCCACCUAGAGUUUCCCGACGCGAAUCCAGUUGAAGCUAGCUCAUCGUGCAUGUGCUACUAUAGAUCGGUUAAGCUGCUUGCCUGCUUGCUUGCACGCUAGCUUUGCACGUACGACGUACACUCUUAGCGUUAUAGAUCCAACAUGGAGCGUGGUUUUGGGCGUGUGCAGGCGGCACGGCUAGUCGAAGACGAGCGCCAGCGGGUGCCGGUGGCCGACGAGCGCCGGCGGGUGCCGGUGGCCGACGAGCGCGAGCGGCACGUUCGUCCGGCGAACUGUGCGGGGUUUUUUUGUUUUUGUUUUGUUUGCCUACGUUCAGGUCAAAGCUUCAGGUCAAACAGACGAGAAAAUCUAAUGACACGUCUUGAUCCAACGUGCGCGUGCGGACCGGCCGAAAUUUGGGCCGGUCCGCCGGCGCCUAUUGUUGCCCUUCCCUUAUUCGCUCUCCGACUUAUUCGCUCUCCGACUUAUCCUUUGUUUUUUCUUUCGUUAGCAAUCGGUUAGUUUUUUUUUCAGAAAUAUUCAUCGGUUAGUUAGUGCUCAUAGAUUGUCUUUUCUUUAAUUCUCAAUUCUCAAGUCCCUUUGAGUUUUUUCUUAGGGUUUAGUCGAUUUCUUAAACUUUUAAAAUAAAUAAAAUUAUAAGAAAAACAUUAUAAUGGCGUCUGUUAGGCGUCGGCCGGCCUGCCGAAACUUUCUUCCUUCCCUAACUCCUCGCACGCACACCAGCACCCCUGCACAAAACACGUGUGCGAGGGUAUGUAGUGCCCACCAUUGCAAUCGAUGAAGAGCACGAGGUUACGCACGUGGAUCGCCACGACCGAGCCGUCGCUGAAUUUCACCGUGCCGGCGACGACGCGGCGGUCAAGCUCGUUGAAGCAUGCAUCAUUGGCGGACAAGUGGUUGGAGGUACCCAUGUCCAAGUACCACUUGGAGUCGUACUCCUCCUUAGUACGUCCGACGUGAACCUUGGCAUGUUCCUCAACGAGGUUGACAUAGUCAUCGGUGAUGUCGUGGUCGUCAGUGAUUGUGCACACCUACGCCAUGAGGAAGGUUUGGUUCUCAUCAUUCGUGCCCUCCGCCUGAGCCAGGUGUGCCUCCUCCCUCUUCUUGUCAUGGAAAUCCAGACCCCAAGUGGCGUAGGAUGCCACAAUAUCUGCACUCAUCCGCAACCCGCAGCGAGCUACAUGUUCUUGCUGCCACCACGCCAAGUAUCGCGGCCACGACCGUGUUCUGUGCCGCGCCAGCCUUUUACCUGGCACCCUACAGCUCGAGGUGCCAUGACCCUAGGAUCGAGCGGCCCUCUCCUCCUUAGUAUGCGGGAGGCGACUGAUGCCAGGUUUGGCCUGGUCGAGCUCGUGUCUCUCCUCGGUGGCCGUGUUUUUCCCACAUGCAGCUCGACCGUGCUCCUUCAACAUUUUCAAAACUGAGGUGAUCUACGUCACCUCAGAUGCUGUCCGGCAUCGGAGCUCGGCUGCAAGAAGACACAGGUCGGGGGAAAGUUCUCAUUGAAUCAGUUUCAAUAACAGCAACCAAAGAUGACAAGCAGCUCAGAUAGGCCGAGGUGUGGUCAGACUUGAAGACCAGUCUAGGGGGCCUCUCACCUAGUCGACUCCUGAUCAGUUGGGUUAGGUUGAGGGCCCCCUGUCGGUUCCAUCCUGGUCCACUUUGGGCCGCCCAUGCCAAUCUACAAGAAAAAUCAAGAAGUCUUACGGUUCAAGAUAAGGACUCCUUAUUCGUGGAGAACUACUCACCACCAAUGUAGCUGACUAGGACUCCUGUAAUACUAGACCUCUAGCAAAUUAUACUCCCUCCGUCCUAAAAUAAGUGUCUCAACUUUAGUACAAAUUUGUACUGAAGUUAGUACAAAGUUGAGACACUUCUUUUGGGACAGAGGGAGUAUAAACCAGGGCUAAGCUAAUGGAUAGAUCAUUAAAACUUGGAUCAUUAGAUCUAGACACAUAAUGAUCUCAUGGUAGAUCACAUUGUUGAAUAUCAUCUCCUCCUUUGUGGCUUUCGCUUUGACGCGGUGAUUUUGCCGCGUCACCGAGUUGAUCUUCCGGGCUCAUAUCCUCCAGCACCUCCACCACGUCCUCCAUCUCCGGCAGGCUAUUCUCCGGUUCCAUGCAGCGGCGGCGGCGGGAGGAAAUAAGAGAGUGGGAAAGAAGGGCUGGAAUUGGGUGAAGAGCGGUGGGGUGGAAGAAGAGAUUGGAGAUUUUGCCACGGAAACCGGACGGGCAUCUACAAAAGCACGGUCUUUGCCUUCCUUUUGGGUGGGCAGGAGGUGGCGGAGUCCUACGCGCCUGUUGUUCGGACUCCCGCAAAAUCCCCCCACGUGUUAUUCCAGUUUGCCAAAAAAAGUGUUCUAGACCGCUCGGCAGACCGAUACAAGCCGGAGUUGGAUGGCGAGGUCUGUACGUAUUCCGGCAGUUUGAGAGUCGAUGUUGGAGAUGCCCUUAGUGUAUGUUCCCGGUUAAUUAUCAAAAUAUACAAAGUUUGUAUUUACUCGACCAAACGUUCAGUCUAACUAAUGAGUUUGACUCUAUCACCAUGAGGGCCCGUUCAGCCCACUCUCGGCGGACUGAAUCUUCUCGACCACCGCGCCCAUGAGGGCCCGAUGCUCAUCGACAAUAGACGCGUUCUUCAACGAUGUCGAUAGACCGCCAGGCAGCUCUGCUCGAUCCCGGAACCCUAGAGGUCCCGGGGGCCGUAUCCAUCCCCGCGUGUCCGGCACCAGGGACAUGUCCUCCCUGGUCCGGGUCUUGUCGAGAUGACACCUCAGUGUCGCGCCCGGACUUUGGGGAAGGGGCCUGCGGAGGCGUCUCGCUCGCCAAGGCGUCUGAGCCUAGUGAAUCCUCCGACGAGGACCGGCCGGCACAGGACCUUGCCGCACUAUGCAAUAUGUAGGCAACAGUCAAAACUACUAUACCCGAAUAUGGAAAUCUGCUCUUGAGAAACCUUCUUGUUUCCAGCAGGCAACAACCCCCUGGACGUGACCUCUCUCAUCAGAAACGAGAUCUCCCUCCUAAGCAUCUCAAGGUGGCUAGAAAGAGCAACAACCGAGUCGUCAUGACCCAUCUUCAUGCCGCCGGCGUCUCUGGUCGUCUCCUUGCUGGAACCCCUCACCGUCCCCUUGCUGAUUCCCAAUUGGGGCUCCAUACUUAUGAGGGACCCCGAAUCCUCAUUGCCAGACUCGGAAUCAGAAUCCCUCUCAAUCUCCGGCUCCUUGAUGGUAUCCCUCUCGGUCCCCUUCCCUAACUCGAUUUCCAUGUUUUUUGUUUUUUUUUAUGAAAAGGGGUUCCCCCGCCCCAUUUUAUUAAUGAAGCAAAAUCCAAAACAGUCUUACUGAAAAAGAAAAGCAUCUCUCCAGGGGGACAUAGCACCCCAACGCAGAGUUCUAAAGUAGCUACUUAUUACAUCCCCAAGAAACAGGAAUCUGAGAUUAAACUAGAAGUUAGGCUCCAUCUUCCUGUUCUCCACGCUCACAUCCACGCAACCCUCAACAGUUCUCCACAGCGUCUGUCCAGCAGGUGAAUGCAUCGCUGCAACAACUUUGCCUGAGUGUCGUCGCAGAGAACUUUCCAUUGCAACAGAUAUAAGCUUAGUUUUGAUAGGACACAUCUGGCAUCUCUCCAGGUACGCCCGUGAAAACAAAAGUUGUUCCUUAGUUACCAAAUGCUCCAUAAGGAGGCAGCCACUACCAGGUUAAGCAUAGCAUCAUUCUUAUUGUUCUGCCAUAAGGCACAAAUGUCAUCAAAGCUAGACAUGCAUGGACUAUCAAAACAUUCAGAAAUGAAAUCCCAAAUCUGUUUUGCAACCACACAUUCAAACAUCAAAUGUACAACGGCGGGUGGGCCGGCUAUAGGGAUCUGAUCGGCGGCAUCAUACACAAAUACAAAGAUAAGGGCUCCUCUGAACCCUAGGCCUACGGUGCAUAUCUAAACCGAGGUCGGACUAGUCAAUAGAAAAUCAGAAUAUGCAUUACUACAAUCUCGUGAUAGAUACAUGUACUAUGUACUAUCCUCAUGUCAAUACAAUUAAAAGCAGGACGUAGGAUAUUAUCUCCUUGAGAGAGCCCGAACCUGGGUAAAAUCCUGUGUCCAUGUUACCAUUGCUCCAAGACGCUUAUCUUAGGAACCCUACUACGAAAUCUGCCGGUUUUGACACCGACACCCACCAUAUACACCACAUGAGAUGAGAGUUUUCAAGGAAGACUUGACAGACCGAAAGUCAACCCGUGAUGAAUAUUCAGAAGUUUAAUCUUUCAAUGUUGAACACAGGAGAUGUCUGAUGACGAUAGGACCCUGGAGUGUGAUUACUGCUACAAUGACCAUGGUUUGUGCGACAGGUAUCCUCACCUGCAAAAUGAUAGGUUUUUCACCGUGAAGUUGGACGAGACCUUUGAUGUUUGUACGGUACGCAACAACAAGUAUUUCAUCGUAAUUAGUAUCAUCACUUGUGCUUCUUUUGGUCAAUGUUUAAUUCCUGAGUUUUUUUUUCAAUUCGAUUAGUACAUCCCGUGCCAUGCAAUACCAUAUGUAUUGCAUAAGCUCGAUUUCAAAGACUCUGAGAAUGCGGAGACGAGGGGGGCUCAGUUAAGAACUAAACAUGAUUAUGUAUUUUUGGUUAAGCUGUUCAAUAUGGAAAAUCACUCCCAUUUCGGUUGCUCUAAUUGGGAAGCUCUCUGCAAGGCAUAUGGAUUUGACAAGGGUAUGCAAAUAACAUUUAAUAUUCGUCUCGAAGAAGAAGAUGAUGAUAAUAUCGAUAUCUUGGUGGAUGUGGAUGUGGAUAUGCCACCAGUUUUGCCUAAAUGUGAGUUUGUCAAACUAAUUUGUUAAGUUAACUAAUUUAUAUUGUUAAUUUAUAUUUUUUUGGUGUUCAUCAGUACUAAACAUCUUUAUUUAUAACCGUUAGCUUAUUUCGUAUCUUCCAAAAAUACUCAGAAUGCUAUAGACAGGACAUACUAUAGCUAUGACUCCGAUCUUAAUUGUGAGGAGAAAGGUUAUCUUGUCUCAUUCAUAGAUGAUGUUGAGGCCUUUAAAACCAAUCAUUCUAUCCUCCCAAAUUUUACUGGAUACGUGCCACUAGUCCAUAAUUUGCAUGAUGGUAACUCCAUUGCCAAAAACUUAGUAAGAUUUUGUUAAUGAUGUAACUUUAUUGCACACAUUCUUCUUAAGUAUAUAAACUACAUUGCUAACUAUAUAUGUUACUAUUACGUUUUUCAAUAGAGGCUCCCGAAGGAGGUUGUGCCUUACAUGCUGUUUACCCAAGGAUAUAUGCAUAUGGUUAGCUUACGACCAACUCCUUCGAAGGCUUACUAUAGUACAUACUCAAUUUCUUCAAAUGAUGGAAUGCUCAAAAUCAAAGAAUGGAGCAAAGUGAUGAAUGCGCACACGCAACUAAUUGGAGACAACAUGAAUGUGCGCAAGCCACAAGUUGGAGAUGAUGAUGAUGAGUUAUUAUAUCAUUGGGUGAAAGAACCACAGAUUAGUUUCAAGUGGAUGGAUCCAAAGUGACCAAGUCACGCUAAUCCAUGACUUGGUCACUUUGGAUCCAUCCACUUGAAACUAGUCCACGAUUUUUUUCACCCAAUGAUGUAAUAACUCAUUAUGAUGUAGAAACAAUCUCUAAAUUGCUACAGUAUGAAAACUUGAAUACUUGUGUAUGAAUACGACAUAAAACAAGAAAGAAAUAGAAUACUUGAUAAUAGUAGUAGCACGGGUAGAGAGGCGCGCUGCUAGUAACUACUAGUAGCGCGUUCUACCAAAAGCGGCUACUGCUAAGUAGGUAUAGUAGUAGCACGGGCAAACCCACGCUACUGCCCCUGUGCUACUGCUAUGCUUUUCCCUAGUAGUGAUAGCAUAAUAUCAGUUGGUCCUUCUGCAUUCCUUGUGACUAUGCAUUUCUACCUUUCUUUCACAUAUUCACAAACAAGAACAUGUUGUUGUUGCUGCAAGCUUCCAAACCUGGAAGCUUAGAAACAAGAAGUGAUUGUAAAUGUCUUGUGGACUGCAAAAUUCUAAACGAAACGACUGUUUAAUUUCUUCUGGUGAAUAGUAUAAGUGAGAUUGACGUGGGUUUGCGGACUGGAUUGUUCCUUGCUUGAUUCAUAUGCUACUGGAACAAAACGCAUCUUGUCAGAUGGUCGCUGUGUCGGCGACGAUGACACUAAUUUAGCAACUAACAACCAAAAUUAUUGAUGAAUUGAUGAUACUAUUAUACAACUGAAUAAAGGGAUGAGCGCUCAUAGGAUGACAAAGUUUCUUGUACUUGUAUUUCUUUUGGGUGAUAGUUGUUGAGAAAAACAGAGCAUGCUUCAGGUUUAUGUGAACAUGGCGGCAUUGCUGCUUGCUACUUUCCGUUUGGUAGACACAAGUUGGAGAAAAUAAGAGGAAGGCAGUUUGACAAAACACAUAAUUCCACCCGUUACAAGAAUCCAGUGCAUCAACGAAAUCAACAUUUAAGAACUCAUAAGUAUUUUAAGAGACCGAGGGCCAUCACGGAACACCAUCUAGCUUCAUCUGUUGCAUAAUCUCGGUCCUCUUUACUGAAAAGAGAUUCACCUGUGAAUAUGCAGUAAAACCUACGCUAGUUUACAUAAUAUAGAAGUCUCAGUUCAGUAGAGUGCCUGUAUUUUUUUUUACAUGAGCUUUCAGUAUUUCCAAGCUUUGCCUUGAGAUGUUGAUAUAUCUGAAAGUUCAAUGUUUCUUGUGCCUCCAUGUUCAGCUUGUGCGUGCAUGUUCAGUCGGCAUCUGCGUGUUCAGCUUGUGCCUGGAAUGCUAGGCGUGCCAGGAAAUAGCAGGCAGUCCUAGUAGCGCAGGCGGCUGAUGCUAAUCCUGCUAUUAGCAAACGCGGAAUGUUGCGGACGAUGCGGCCGGCCGGCAGACGUGUCCAAUUGCAUACUGAGAUCGGGGGCUGGGAGCUGCAGUCCAUCUCCGUCGCGGGCUCGCGGCGACCGUCCGAAGAGAUGCGUUCAGUUCCAGCGAUCAUCCAAGGAGACUCGUUCCGUCCGCACCGCCGCUGAUGCAGGUAGGGUUGUGUAGUACGGAAUAGGUAAAGCUGCCCACCGCUGAGUGUUUUUUUUGCUGAAUGUUUCUGCAAAAUUAUGGCAAGUGUUACUUUAUUAGGCGUAGGAUUUAAGUUGGAUUCAUUAGGUUUGGCCAGAAUCAAGAUCGACGGGACGGGGUUCAGGCUUUCACCGCCAUGAUGACUCCCGCGUUCACAUCCACUCCGGCCGGCGCGCGGGUUUCAGGAUUCGCCCUCUCCACCUUUCCGCACGCGGCAAAUCCGGCACGUUCGACUGGGUGGAGGACCAAAACGAUUCGGCCUCGGCCUGCAGUUAUUAUUAAGGAAAAGAAGCAACGAAACGUUAGUACCACCUUGGAUAUCUAUGGGCAAGGAGGCGUUAUUCAAGCCUAUAUAUACACAGCUCCUUGCAGCGGACGGACCAAGAAACGCGUCAAUUCAAUCAAUCAAUCAAUCAAAUCAAAGAAGAAGAAGAAGAAGAGGAGGAGGAGAAAAGAGAAAAAGAGAAGAGCCUCUUGUCAUCAAACCCCCAAUAAACCGGAGAUGGAGGGGGAGCUCACGAAGAAGAUGGAGAGGAAACUCAGGAAGAAGCAGAAGAAUCUAUUGAAGAAGAUGGGGAAAGAGAAGCCCCAAUCCCUGGUAAAGGAAAUCAUCUCCGUGGAGAGGGAGCGCAGAGACUUACAUGCCUCACUUACUCCCACGUUCUCUGUCUGGAAAGAAAUCGAUUCUCAAACAACGUGGACAAUCGCCACAAAGGAGCCUGCUACUGCUACUACCAGGGACGAUGAGAAUCAACUCGCAGACUACUUCAACCUGAUGCUCCAAGAUAUGGAGGACCUGGGCCAUCGGAUGCUUUCUAUGCUAUAUUUUCUCAACAAAUCCAAUGACCCCAUCUGCUCCUACAAGGCCACCGAGCUGUGCAAUAUAGCAGCCAAAUUAAAUAUGCAGAUAUCCAAGGGAUUCAGCAUGAACCAUGAGCUGGAGCAGGAGCCGGAGCCGGAGCCGGGGCAAAUCAACUUGUUGACUCUUUUCAGCAAAUAUUGUCGAUUUCCCAAUAAUUACGAGAACACCUUGGCCAAGUUAGACAUGAGGGAGGAGGAGACCAAGUGUGAGGAUGUUAAGGUGAAGAAGACCAAGGAAGAGGAGGACAAGGAGAAUGACCCAUCCACAAUCGAGUAUUUCAAGAAAAGUCUGGAGCUUGAUCAAUACUUUUUCGCCGCGGAUCGAAGAUACUGGGAAAAUGGGUGGGCCAGCAAGUUUGGACGGUACGGUGGAUUCUCAAAUACAAGUAAGUUAUCUCAUUUCUCCUUGUAUAUGUAUUUGGUAGUAUUUAUAUAUAAGAAACUGUCGGGGGAUGGAGUGGGAGCGAUGAUGCGUGGGUGUUUCUUCUUUUAUUUUUGACAUCUGGUGCAUGGGUGUUUGAAGGGGACGAAGAAGAGGUGGCAUGCGGUUUGAUUGUUGCAAACAUGUUUAGUCGUAAAUCUGGGAUGUAGUUUCAGCAAUGUAGGGGAUCUAAUGAUAUCUUUAUUUUGCUCAUUCAUAUUAGAAUUCUGACAUUUGACACUUGUCUUUGGUGCUGCAGCCAUCCUGAGCCCUAUGCAGUUUACGCACUAUACACCUGAUAUCAUCCCUUCCUCAGCUGCUGUCACCGGUAGUACUUUGCAAAUCUACUCAAUCAAGAUAAAGAAUCUAAAAGACUUGAACUGGCCCCUCAAAGUCUACGGCAAGAUUGCUGCUCGAGACACUGUGGACCGCAACCGCAACAUUCUAUUCUCUCGGUCAAAGUGUGAUUACCAAGAACUUAAUGGACAAGUAUGUAUUGUAUUCAGUUUUUUGCUCAUUUUAUUCAUCCUCCUGACUUUGUUGUACAACUGCGAUUAGGUAUUUAUAAUGAUGAUAUGAUGCUUGCAGGAUGAUUCCUUAUGCUUGACUGGUCCGUCUCGUGCGAUUGUUGCUUUGGGCCAUGUAGACUUUGAAGUUGAACUCAAAGUAAUCGAGGGAGCGGUGUCGCAAAGUUUGAUCAUUUGUAGAGGCCGUUACGGCGGUGCAGAUGAUUGUUCCUCUUCUUCGGCCAGCCUGACUUAUGGUGGUGAUGGACCAACCUUCUUGCUCUCCAACCAUCGCUGUAGAACCGAGGUAACACUUGAGCAGCUUGAUAGAUCGCACCAGGCUACUAUUGUGGGUGUACGAGUAACCAAAGGGGCUUGGCCUUUCAAAUAUGGAUGCCGGGUUAUUUGCUUUUGGGCUCCUGCUUCUACGGCAGAUGUCAUUGAUACCACUUGCAGGCCAGUUGUGCUGCUUGACCGCCGUGGUAAAGGAUUACAUAGAGGAUCAGAGAACUACCUUCAACUAUCAAGGAAAGUGGUAUCAGUGCAAUCACAAGGAACACUGAGAGUGGCCAUAGAAGGCUAUGGGAAGUCCCGUCGCUUGAUUGCUCGAAAGGGCCACAUCGACUUUCCUGUUCAGCAGUGCCAAACAAGCAAGCGUGCUUGUUUAGUUGGUGACACCACAGUGGAGGUGGUUGUAGCCUGGUCGUUGCUUGUCAAGGAAAAGGUGGAUCUCCAGGUCUUGCUUAGUUGAUUGCCCAGGUGGCUAUGUAAGUGUAAACCUUGUAUACUGACAAAAAUUAUGCGAUGUAUUAUGCAAUCUGGUUUGUUAAAAGUCUGAGCACUAUGUGUAUUGUUAUUCCGCCUGAUGAUUGUUUUCUUCCUUCUGUCAAAAAUUGAUGACUAUUGAUUGUGCUUGCUAUCUUUCUUCUUUUAAUUUUUUCUCAAAUUCCCUAUUGUCAUAUUGCAUAUCUGGCUAGAGGAAGCUGCGCUGUGGCCGGGACUCGUUGUUGUGGCAGCUGCUCCUCCUAUGUGGUGGAGAUAUCAUCACCGCACUCCUGGUGUUCGUCUACCUUGUCUACAAGUUGGGCAUAUGCGGCUACCUCUGCACACUCCUUGCUCGGCAACUCCUAUUGGAAAUAUGCCCUAUAGGCAAUAAUAAAAUGACUCUUAUCAUAUUUCCCGUUUAUCAUAAAAAUCUAUUAUUUAAGCUGGAAUUGUAUUGACCGGAAAAUUAAAUAACCUCCUCCUCAGCCUCUAAGCACGGUCGCACGCUCAUCUGCAACAAAAUCAGGAGUACCAAACGAGAACGCCGAGACAGAGACAGAGAUGCAGAGCGACUUAUGAUGUGAGUUCACACUCCAAAGACGAGGAACCAGCACAUGAACAUGAUCCUAAAGCAUGAUGGAAAUUACGUAGCAUGGUAGAAACAGAAACAGUGCCAGCAGUUUAAGUAGUAUUGUUAGAAGUAUAAUCAUGAUUAGGAUAGAGACAAGGAGAUAGAGCAAAACUUAGUUUAACAUAUCAUCUCUUGUACUACAAGUCUUGUUAGAGUUGUGUCGAAUAUUGUGUACACGGUAGGUUACAGUUGGACUCUUAUUAUUGUGUUUACAUAGGAUAUGGAGUCGUGUCCUAGUAGGACACUUGUAUCCUAGGCCUCUCAUAUAUAGCGGGGGUAGACACACAUUGUAAUCUAUGCCAACAUAAUAGCACCGGAACGCAGGAGAAGCCGGCGGCAUGUGCCGGUGUCCAGGGCGACCGGGUGCGGUAUUGUAGCGGUGUCAUGGGGAGGAACGCCCAUAGUCAGGCCCCGGGGAUGUAGCCAUAUCGGUGAACCUCGUUAACAAAUCUCGGUGUCGUGCUCGUGUGAUUGCUUGGUCCUCGGAUGAUCGACGGAGUGCUUCGGAUUUAUUCUAACGAGUAGUAUCAGAGCUAGGUUGUUUGGAGGCGGCGAGAGUUGAUCUAGAGGGAGAAGAUGCAUCGACAUAAAUCCGCGGAAGCGAUCGUAAUACGGGAUGAAUAUCAUCAGCGAGUUACCAUCGAGGCAUGAUUGGUCGUGCUAUGAUCUUCGAGCAGUAAUCAGAUCGAGAUGCAGACAUGAGGCAAAAGCAUCGGCGGCGGCAGACUUGCGGCGAUUAAUCGUGUUGAUCCAUCGGGCGAGCGUACAGGCGGCGCGGCUGAAGCCAAGGCAAGCGACGCACCAUAUGGACUGGCUCACCGGGGCUAGCUGGUGCGUGUGGCAGCGUGCUACAUGGCAGGGCUGCGGUGCAGGGCCGAUCGACUCAGGAGAUUUGUUUGGGAAAAAAAGAGACCGCUCUCCAUAUAUGACGCGGAUAGGCAGGCAAUCAGUCAUCAGAAAGCGUAUCCAUCAGAGCAAUACUCGCGUACGGAUUUGACACAAGAGCAGCACUAGCAUCCCCAAUUGCGGCCAAUGCAGGGAGGAAUCACGUGAAGACCAACUAGUUAACUAGUAGUGCACAUGUUGUGUACUUGGGCAUUGCGUGGAAAUCUCCGAUAAUUUUUCAAGGGUCCCUCAUACAAAGAACCAUGAAGCCAACGGGUACUAGGUUUGAGAUGGAGAAGUUCGAUGGAACUGAACACCUUGGGUUAUGGCAGACAAGGGUGAAAAUUUUAUUGGCACAACAUGGAUGCUUUAAGGCGUUGCGGGAAGUCAUGUCAGCUAAGAUGGAAUUAUCAUGUGAUGGAUGGAAUUCACGGAAGACGAUUUGGAAGCCUCGAGCGUGUCGUACAGUCAAACAAGUUUGACUGGGUCAGACUAGGCAGUCUAACGGAUCGACAUGAGUCGGUUGGUACAGAAGACGGUGGUGGGAUCGGCGACGACGAGAUAGGAGCGUGAUGCCGAUGGUGACCGACUUCUGGGUGUGGAAACACGUGACGCAGGCCCCGAGGGCUUGUGUCGCUUCGACAAGACUAUGGUGCGGGGUUGAUUCAAGGUGUUGUACACACGGAGCUUGAAGUCGACGUGACGCGAGGAUGGACUGAUCAUCUACCAUGGAGUCAUGUUGAAGGUGGAGCUAGAUUGAGGGGCUACGGUGUAAGGAUCCAGGGAAUCGAAGCCUAUUCAGCGGGAAAAAGUGAGUGACAUGCAGUUCGGACUGGAGCCCAGUGGUUUGAUGGAAGCGUGAAACUCGUCAUCGGUCGGUGAUGAUCAGUGGUACUCUGCAGUGGGGGUUGAGUGGUGUGGUUUGAUGACCCUUGAGACUCGACUAAGACAGCGGAGGCUCGACGCGUUAAUAGCGGCGAGGCGUGCGGUAUGCACAGUGCAUGGAGACGAGCCAGUGCUCUAGUGGGCAUACAUGUGGUGAGACAACUGCGAAUUUGACUCGGGAUGACUACAAGCAACAGUGAAAUUCCUUCAUGUUUCAGACAGGCGGUCAAGAAAGGAGCAGUGAUGUUGAGUUCAGGUAACUCUUAUGUGUGACACCAAAUAUGUGAGUUGUUCACUUUCACGCAGGUCAGUGAUCGGUGUGUGAUGGCAUUGAACAGAUACUCUGGAAGUUGGGAGCACAAACUAGAGUGACAAGGAACUUAAUUUUGCUCGAGUGUUGACCCUGGUCAAGAAAAGAAGGGACUACAAGUUGCAGGUGGAGUCAUAUGGAGUCCUUGGAGUAGCAGCGGUGCUCAUGGGACAAGCUCAAGUCCAAUGUACAUGAAAGUUUGACGCAUGGACAAAUUCAAGGUGGUGGAGCAUAUUCGCCAAGGUGGAGUUUGUUAGAGUUGUGUCGAAUAUUGUGUACACGAUAGGUUACAGUUGGACUCUUAUUAUUGUGUUUACAUAGGAUAUGGAGUCGUGUCCUAGUAGGACACUUGUAUCCUAGGCCUCUCAUAUAUAGCGGGGGUAGACACACAUUGUAAUCUAUGCCAACAUAAUAGCACCGGAACGCAGGGGAAGCCGGCGGCAUGUGCCGGUGUCCAGGGCGACCGGGUGCGGUAUUGUAGCGGUGUCAUGGAGAGGAGCGCCCACAGUCAGGCCCCGGGGAUGUAGCCAUAUCGAUGAACCUCGUUAACAAAUCUCGUUGUCGUCCUCGUGUGAUUGCUUGGUCCUCGGAUGAUCGACGGAGUGCCUCGGAUUUAUUCUAACAAGUCUUUUCCCAUGUUGUAUUCUAUAUAUACCCAUAAAAGGGUCCGAUCAAUAUAACACACCAUUCUAGGACCCUCCACCAGUUAUGAAGCACGCCGCCCCGGGGAGAUUAAUCGCGUCUCCCUGGGGGCGCGGCACCCGGUCGAUAAAAGAUCAGAUCUGGUUCAAUAGCUUGGAUCAAAUUAUGUAGUUUUUCAAAUUUUAUGUUCUUACACUACUAGGGAAAACCUUAUACAUAGAAGUUUAUCCGUAACGCGGUUUAAAAGUGGGCGCUAGUGCUAAUUACUAGUAGCGAGGGGUACAAAAACCGCGUUACUACUAAGUUGAUAGUAGUAGCAAGGGGUACAAACCCGCGCUGCUAGUAAGUGGUCUCGAACAAUACCCCCGGAUAGGCCAUAGUAGUAGCGAUGUCCACCCCGGCCCGAUCCAUACUCCCACCCCACCACUCUCUCUCUCAUCCCUAAAAAAUACUCUCUCACGAACUCACAUGCUCCUCUCCCCACGAUCUCCUCGCCGCCUCCACCACCCAGACCGGCCGGUUCCGGCGAGCAUCGGUCGCGCGCAAUACUCCCCCAAGCUCCACCCGUCCUUCCCCUCCGUCCAGGUCCGACAUGGCUGUAGUUCCUACACGGCCAACCUCUUCUCCACGGCGCUCUCGUGCCACUUCAUCCCGCUCCUUCGCCGCCAGGCCCGCCGCCUCCGCCUCCGUUUCCUGCGGCCUGCUGCGCGCCGUGCCGGCGCUGCUGGCGCCACGGAGGCGGCUCCUGCUGCCCGUGGCCAUGGGGUACACCGAGGGGGAGCAGAGCGAGGGCGAGGCCGAGUACUCCGAGGACCUCAAGGUCUUCGUCGGAUACUAGUAGUCGUUACGUCCAAGGGAUGUGGCUCCAUUCAAGAUUCCGGCGUCAGUUGCGUGCUGGUUGGGGGUCAAUCGCCAAGGUGAAGGGGAGAUUUACUUGCUCAUCCGCUCUUUGAUUCGUUUCCCGAUCUUCAUUUCAUCUCUUCAAAACUGUAGGCUAGGUGUUUGUGGAAUUGCCCGCCUCCUUUGGAACUGCAACGGCAACGCCAGCAAAGUAAGGAACACUAAGGCUAGGCAGAGCAAAGAAGGGGAAGGAUGACCAUGCCGUGGGGGCUGGCGGCGUACAUGGUGGACAUGGUGUGGGCAGUGUUCGCCGGGUGUGUGUCGGUGUGCCUGCUGGUCGCCAACGAGAUCGCCCGCGGCAUGCGGGCCAGGUAGAUUGGCCCCUUCAUCGUGGGGUGAAUCUCACUUCGGGAAUCCUCCCUUCUGACUCCUUCAUGCAGGUGCUAUGCUCUAGUUUCUUUGCUAGUAAAUUGAUGAAUGAUACGUCUCCAACGUAUCUAUAAUUUUUGAUUGGUCCAUGCUAUUAUAUUAUCCAUCCAUGAUGUUUUAUAUGCAUUUAUAUGCUAUUUUAUAUGAUUUUUGAGACUAACCUAUUAACCUAGAGCCCAGUGCCAGUUUAUGUUUUUUCCUUGUUUUUGAGUAUCACAGAAAAGGAAUACCAAACAAAGGCCAAUUGACGUGCCAAUUUUUGAUGAUUUUUAUGGACCAAAAGAAGACCACGGAGCAUCGGAGUUGGGCCAGAAGAGCCCUGGGCUGCCCACGAGGGUGGGGGCGCGCCCACCCCCCUGGGCGCGCCCCCUGCCUCGUGCACAGCCCGGAGACCCCCCCUGACUUGUUGCCGAUGCCAAAAAUUCCUAUAAAUACAGACACCUCCAGAAACAAACCUAGAUCGGAGUUCCACCGCCGCAAGCCUCUAUAGCCACCAAAAACCAAUCAGGACCCUGUUCCGGCACAUUGCCGGAGGGGGGAACCCUCACCGGUGGCCAUCUUCAUCAUCCCGACGAUCUCCAUGACGAGGAGGGAGUAGUUCACCCUCGAGGCUGAGGGUACGUACCAGUAGCUGUGUGUUUGAUCUCUCUCUCGUGUUCUUGAGGUGGUAUGAUCUUGAUGUACCGCGAGCUUUGCUAUUAUAGUUGGAUCUUAUGAUGUUUCUCCCCCUCUACUCUCUUGUAAUGGAUUGAGUUUUCCCUUUGAAGUUAUCUUAUCAGAUUGAGUCUUUAAGGAUUUGAGAACACUUGAUGUAUGUCUUGCCGUGCUUAUCUGUGGUGACAAUGGGAUAUUCAUGUGAUCUACUUGAUGUAUGUUUUGGUGAUCAACUUGCGGGUUCACCUUGUGAACGUAUGCAUAGGGGUUGGCACACGUUUUCAUCUUGACUCUCCGGUAGAAACUUUGGGGCACUCUUUGAAGUACUUUUGUGUUGGUUGAAUAGAUAAAUCCGAGAUUGUGUGAUGCAUAUCGCAUAAUCAUACCCAUGGAUACUUGAGGUGACAAUGGAGUAUCUAGGUGACAUUAGGGUUUUGGUUGAUUUGUGUCUUAAGGUUCUAGUACGAACUCUAUGAUAGAUUUAACAGAAAGAAUAGCUUCGUGUUAUUUUACUACGGACUCUUGAAUAGAUCGAGCAGAAAGAAUAACUUUGAGGUGGUUUCAUACCCUACCAUAAUCUCUUCGUUUGUUCUCCGCUAUUCGUGACUUUGGAGUGACACUUUGUUGCAUGUUGAGGGAUAGCUAUAUGAUCCAACUAUGUUAUUAUUGUUGAGAGAACUUGCACUAGUGAAAGUAUGAACCCUAGGCCUUGUUUCCUAGCAUUGCAUUACCGUUUACACUCACUUUUAUCAUUAUUUACCUUGGUGUUUUUAUAUUUUUCAGAUUACAAAAACCUAUAUCUACCAUCCAUAUUGCACUUGUAUCACCAUCUCUUCGCCGAACUAGUGCACCUAUACAAUUUACCAUUGUAUUGGGUGUGUUGGGGCACAAGAGACUCUUUGUUAUUUGCUUGCAGGGUUGUUUGAGAGAGACCAUCUUCAACCUACGCCUCCCACAGACUGAUAAACCUUAGGUCAUCCACUUGAGGGAAAUUUGCUACUGUCCUACAAACAUCUGCACUUGGAGGCCCAACAACGUAUACAAGAGGAAGGUUGCAUAGUAGACAUCAAGCUCUUUUCUGGCGCCGUUGCCGGGGAGGUGAGUGCUUGAAGGUAUAUCUUUAGAUCUUGCAAUCGAAUCUUUUAGUUUCUUGUUUUAUCACUAGUUUAGUUUAUAAAAGAAAACUACAAAAAAAUGGAAUUGAGUUUGCCUCAUACGAUUCAUCUUUUUAAUAUCUUUCAUGAGUAUGAUGGAAAGGAAAAUUGUGCUCAAGUGCUAGCAGAAGAAACCUAUAGAAUGUUUAGCACUAAAUCUUUGUAUGAUGAGCAUGAUUGCAAUGUUGUUAGUAUGAAUUCCUUGAAUAUCCAUGAUGCUAAAGAUAUGCAGAGCCACAAGCUUGGGGAAGCUAUGUUUGAUGAAUAUGAUAUUUUUUGUCCCCCAAGUUUUGAUGAGCAAAUUUAUUAUGAUGAUAGGAUGCCUCCUAUUUAUGAUGAUUAUUGUGAUGAUACAUAUGCCAUAAAGAAUAAACUUGCUUAUGUGGAGAGUAGUAAAAUUUCUAUGCCUGUGGAUCAUGAAAAGAAUGCUUUAGGUGCUGGUUAUAUUGUUGAAUUCAUUCAUGAUGUUACUGAAAAUUAUUAUGAGGGAGGAACAUAUGCUUGUAGGAAUUGCAAUAAUAUCAAGUUUCCUCUCUAUGUGCUUAAAGUUUUAAAGUUAUGCUUGUUUUGCCCUUCUAUGCUAGUUGAUUAUUGUUCCCAUAAGUUGUUUGCUCACAAAAUCCCUAUGCAUAGGAAGUGGGUUAGACUUAAAUGUACUAUUCAUAUUCUUCAUGAUGCUUUCUUUAUGUUUCAAUUCUUAUCUUUUAUGUGAGCAUCAUUGAAAUCAUCAUGCCUAGCUAGGGGCGUUAAACAUUAGCGCUUGUUGGGAGGCAACCCAAUUUUAUUCUUGUUCUUUGCUUUUUGUUUCUGUAUAGUAAUAAAUAAUUUAUCUAGCCUCUGUUUAGAUGUGGUUUUAUGUUUUAAUUAGUGUUUGUGCCAAGUAGAACCUUUGGGAAGACUUGGGUGAAGUCUUUAUGAUCUUGCUGUAAAAAAAUAGAAACUUUAGCGCUCACGAGAUUAGCUGCCAUUUUUUACUGGAGAGUGCUUUUAGAUUGAUUCUUUUUGAAGAUGAUUAAUAAACAAAUUCCUGAGGUCCAACAAUUUAUUUCAGAAUUUUUGGAGUUCCAUAAGUAUAGGUUUGAUACAGAUUACUACAGACUGUUCUGUUUUUGACAGAUUCUGUUUUCAUUGUGUUGUUUGCUUAUUUUGAUGAAUUUAUGAGUAGUAUCGGAGGGUAUGAACCAUAGAGAAGUUGGAAUACACUAGAUAUUACACCAAUAUGAAUUUAGAAUGAGUUCAAAACAGUACCAAAAGUGGUGGUUUUAUUUAUUUAUACUAACGGGGCUUACGAGUUUUCUGUUGAGUUUUGUGUUGUGAAGUUUUCAAGUUUUGGGUAAAGAUUCGAUGGACUAUGGAAUAAGGAGUGGCAAGAGCCUAAGCUUGGGGAUGCCCAAGGCACCCCAAGGUAAUAUUCAAGGAUAACCAAGAGCCUAAGCUUGGGGAUGCCCCGGAAGGCAUCCCCUCUUUCGUCUUCGUUCAUCAGUAACUUUACUUGGAGCUAUAUUUUUAUUCACCACAUGAUAUGUGUUUUUCCUGGAGCGUCAUUUUAUUUUAUUUUGUUUUACAUGCUGUUUGAAUAAAAUACCAAGAUCUUACAUUCUUAAAUGUUAGAGAGUCUUCACAUAGUUACGUAAUUAUUCAACUACUCAUUGAUCUUCACUUAUAUCUUCCGGAGUAGUUUGUCGUUGCUCUAGUGCUUCACUUAUAUCUUUUUAGAGCAUGGUGGUGGUUUUAUUUUGUAGAAAUAGAUGAAUUCUCAUUGUUCACUUAUAUUAUUUUGAGAGUCCUACAAACCAGCACGGUAAUUUGCUUUGGUUGAAAUUUUAGUCCUAGAAGUGAUGGGCAUCCAAGAGGGAUAUAAUAAAAACUUUCAUAUAAAGUGCAUAGAACACUGUGUGAAGUUUGAUUCCUUAUGAUUGUUUUGAGAUAUGAAGAUGGUGAUAUUAGUCACGCUAGUUGAGUAGUUGUGAAUUUGAGAGAUACUUGCGUUAAAGUUUGUGAUUCCCGUAGCAUGCACGUAUGGUGAACCGUUAUGUGAUGAAGUCGGAGCAUGAUUUAUUUAUUGAUUGUCCUCCUUAUGAGUGGCGGUCGGGGACGAGCGAUGGUCUUUUCCUACCAAUCUAUCCCCCUAGGAGCAUGCGCGUAGUACUUUGUUUCGAUAACUAAUAGAUUUUUGCAAUAAGUAUGUGAGUCCUUUAUGACUACUGUUGAGUCCAUGGAUUAUACACACUCUCACCCUUUCACCAUUGCUAGCCUCUCUAACACCACGCACCUUUCGCCGGUAUCAUACACCCACCAUAUACCUUCCUCAAAACAGCCAUCAUACCUACCUAUUAUGGCAUUUCCAUAGCCAUUCCGAGAUAUAUUGCCAUGCAACUUUUCACUGUUCCAUUUAUUAUGACAUGCUCCAUCAUUGUCAUAUUGCUUUGCAUGAUCAUGUACUUGACAUCGUAUUUGUGGCAAAGCCACCGUUCAUAACUCUUUCAUAAAUGUCACUCUUGAUUCAUUGCACAUCCCGGUACACCGCCGGAGGCAUUCAUAUAGAGUCAUAUUUUGUUCUAAGUAUCGAGUUGUCAUUCAUGAGUUGUAAGUGAAUAAAAGUGUGAUGAUCAUCAUUACUAGAGCAUUGUCCCUUGUGACAGUAGUAGAAAAAAGGCUUUGGUUAAGGCCGGGUCAGCCCAUUAGUCCCGGUUCAGUCCAGAACCGGGACCCAUGGGGGCAUUGGUCCCGGUUCGUGAGCCCAGGGGGCCGGCCUGGCCACGUGGGCCAUUGGUCCCGGUUCGUCUGGACCUUUUGGUCCCGGUUGGUGGGACGAACCGGGACCACUAGGCCUGGCUCCUGGCCCACCACCAUUGGUCCCGGUUGGUGGCUUGAACCGGGACGACAGGCUGAGGUGCCUAUAUAUACUGUAACAUCCCGAUUUUCGGAAUGUUUAAGAAAAAGUUUUCGAAAAAUCAGGGCAAGAAAAUUCUGUUUGUUUUAUUUUGUAACAAAGCUUAAACUGAACUUUUAUAAUUUGGAUGAUUUAAAUUGAUCUAAUGCGAACUUAAAUUUAAAUUGAGUUUGUUCUUCUCUUUUAGUUGGGUUUUGGUUUUCUCCCUUCAGCAUAUUAAAUUAUGCAUGUAUGUAUUUGGAACUUCUUUUGAAUUCGUUAACUUCUAUUCCUUUUCUAAAUUUUCCUAAGAGGAAAAUCAAUUUGUUUUCCCUGUCUCAAACUCUGGGCGAAAUUCCAUCGGUCCAACAUAUCUCCUUCCCUUCCCUAGGUUCAGCCACUAUUUUUUUUUCUUGUCUAAGUCGCAUGGGCCUAGCCCAUCUAUUUUUAUUUUUAUUUUCUUGUUUUCCCUCCUCUCCCCAUGGGCUGGAUCCACUUGGCCCAUAUCUCUAGCCGACGAAUGUCUCUCCAUGCAUACGGCCCUCUUAUUAACAAAAUAGAGUAGUAUCAACAUGGUUCCAAAGGUCCUCAAAAUUGAAAAAAGAAGCAAAACAAGCUCACACAGAGCCCGGAAAAGCUAGAUACAUCAAACUAGCCACAUCAAUGUGCCACAACCGGCUGGGCAAACUAGAUAGGAAUACUAAAUACCUAUCCUAUUACAUGACCGCCAUCCAAACCGGUUGAAGAUAUCCCGAGCUACCAUCUCCCAACGGAUAGACCCAGUAACCAAAUGCUCCUUGGCCUCCGUCUGGGUGAGUAGCGACCACGAACGAAUCAGAGCCGUAGUCCGGAAUAAAACCUGCAAAAUUGUAUACAUGAUAUUCUGUUAAAGACCAAAUCGUUUCUGCAGUUCCAGAUGGUCCACAGCAAAGCACAAACCCCCACCCGAAUAUGUCUCCCUAAGUUGGGCUCAAUCCCAUUAAGCCAUGUCCCAAAUAAAGUAUUAACAGAAUUCGGUGGUUUGAUGUUAAAAGCAAUGUGGACCGUCUGCCAUAGAACCUUUGCAAGCGGACAAUCAAAAAAGAGGUGUUUAAUAGACUCAUCCCGAUCACAGAAACUACACCUAGUAGGUCCUGUCCAAUUGCGCUUCUUCAAGUUAUCCUUAGUUAAAAUUACUUGUUUAUGAACAAACCACAUAAACACUUUUAUUUUCAAAGGAACUUUGACAUCCCAAACAUGUUUGGACGUAGGAAUGGAGCUCGAAUUAAUAACAUCAAUAUACAUUGAUUUAACCGUGAAGCCUCCAGACUUAGUCAACUUCCAGCGCAAUUCAUCAGGUUGUUGAGACAGCUGGAUAUCCAUCAGCCUUCUAACUAGAUGGAGCCAUUGUUCCCAAUGAUUGCCCGCUAGCACUCGUCUGAACUGAAUAUUAAGGGGGAUAGAUUGAAAAACCGAAGCAAUGACCACCUCCUUUCGUUGAACAAUACGAUACAAGGAGGGAUAUUGGAUGGCCAGGGGUGUGUCACCAAGCCAAGUGUCCUCCCAGAAACGUGUGCUCAAGCCGUUUCCGACAACAAACUUUGUCCUAUUAAUGAAAGCCUGCUUGACCUUCAUGAGCCCCUUCCAGAAAGGCGAGUCAGUCGGCCUUACAGAGACUUGCGACAAAGUUUUUGACUGGAGGUACUUGCCGCGAAGGAUCUGUGCCCACACAGCAUCCGUCUCCGACGCGAGCUUCCACAGCCACUUGCUAAGCAGGCAUUUAUUCUUAAUCUCAAGAUUCUCAAUACCUAGACCCCCUUGGUCCUUCGGUCUACAAAUAAUGUCCCACUUAGCAAGUCUGUAUUUUCUUUUCAGCUAAUCACCCUGCCAGAAGAACCGCGAUCUAUAGAAGUCCAGUCUCUUCCUGACUCCAACUGGUACCUCAAAGAACGAAAGAAGAAACAUCGGCAAACUUGUGAGCACCGAAUUAAUUAGGAUUAACCGGCCUCCAUAAGAUAAGAGCUUGCCCUUCCAGCAGCUCAGUUUCUUCUCAAAUCGGUCUUCAAUGCACUUCCAUUCUCUGUUCGUUAGCCUACAAUGGUGGAUAGGAAUCCCUAAGUACGAGAAAGGUAACUGUCCCAACUCACACCCAAACAAUUGCCUGUAGGCUUCCUGCUCAUCGAUGGCCCUACCAAAGCAGAACAACUCGCUCUUAUGAAAGUUGAUCUUCAAUCCGGUCAAUUGUUCGAAUAGGCAUAAAACCAUCUUCAUAUUCCUAGCCUUAACCACGUCAUGCUCCAUAAAGAUGAUCGUAUCAUCAGCGUAUUGUAGGAUGGAAAUGCCUCCAUUAACCAGAUGAGGCACCAAUCCACCUACUUGACCAUUUUCCUUAGCCCGUCCUAUCAGAAUUGCCAACAUAUCUACCACAAUGUUGAACAAGAUAGGGGACAUUGGGUCUCCUUGUCGUAAGCCUUUAUGGGUCUGAAAGUAAUGACCUAUAUCAUCAUUAACUUUAAUUCCCACACUACCUUUUUGCGUAAAUGAUUGCACCUGCCUUCGCCAGGCUUCAUCAAACCCUUUCAUACGCAAAGAUUGUUGGAGAAAUGGCCACUUAAUCUUAUCAUACGCUUUCUCGAAAUCCACUUUAAAAAUCACUCCAUCCAAUUUUUUGGAGUGGAUUUCAUGGAGCGUUUCAUGCAGAACUACCACCCCUUCUAGAAUGUUUCUGUCUGGCAAGAACGCGGUUUGGGAUUGAUGCACCACAGAAUGCGCAAUCUGUGUGAGCCUGUUGGUCCUGACCUUUGUGAAGAUUUUGAAACUAACAUUUAGGAGACAGAUCGGCCUGAAUUGCUCAAUUCUGACCGCAUCCGUCUUCUUAGGUAGUAAUGUGAUAGUCCCAAAAUUCAGGUGGAAUAAUUGAAGUUGUCCAGAGAAUAGAUCAUGAAACAUAGGUAGUAAAUCCCCCUUAAUAAUGUGCCAGCACUUCUUAUAGAACUCGGCCGGGAAACCAUCCGGACCAGGAGCCUUAUUAUUUUUCAUUUGAGCAAUUGCCUCAAACACCUCCUUCUCCGAGAACGGGGCAACCAGAAUGUCAUUAUCAGCAGCCGAAAGCUGAGGUACAUCCUCAGUCAUGGACUCAUCAAGUGACACCGUAUUCUCCUCCGGUGGACCAAAUAACUGCUUAUAAUACUCAGUGAUAUAUGUUUUUAGGUUAUCCUGACCUAAAAUUGUACCCUCGUCCUGCUCAAGCUGAAAGAUUCGCUUCUUUCUAUGCUUGCCAUUAGCAAUUAAAUGAAAGAACUGAGUAUUCGCGUCCCCCUGGACCACUCUACGAACCUUAGCACGUAAAGCCCACUUUAGUUCUUCUUCGCGUAGUAGUUCUUUCAACCGCUUUUCCGCCUCAUUUUUAACCUGAAGCUCUGCGGGGACUAAAACAUUAGACUCGGCUUUUACGUCCAAGUCAUAUACAAGAGAAAGGAGUCUAUCCUUUUCAAUCUUAUACGCACCACUAAGAUGCUUAGCCCAACCCCUCAAGAAGCUUCUCAAAUUCCUAAUCUUAUUCUGCCAACGCUCAAUGGGUGUUUUACCGCGAACCUCUUUAGCCCAUUCCCUGGCAAUCAAGUCAAAGAACCCCUCACGUUCGAACCAUGACGUCUCAAAUGAGAAGGUGUUCUUAUUACCCACGUGGUUCGGCUCCCCUGAGUCCAUGAACAAUGGGGUAUGAUCAGAUAUUCCCCUCGAAAGGGCUUGCACCGUGACCAACGGGAAUUUUUGUUCCCACUCCACGCUUGCAAGAACCCGAUCAAGUUUUUCGUAAGUUGGGUUUGGCAUAGCGUUGGCCCAUGUAAACUUUCGACCCGAGAGUUCUAUCUCUCUCAGAUCCAAGCUUUCAAUAAUGGUGUUGAACAUGAAGGACCAUCUACCAUCAAAGUUGUCAUUGUUCUUCUCCUCCCGCCUCCGGAUGAUAUUGAAAUCACCUCCGACUAAAAUCGGUAGUUGUUCUGACCCACAAAUUCGAACUAGGUCAGCUAGAAACUCCGCUUUCCAACUCAGGCUGCGCGGCACCAUAUACCGCCACCAAAGCCCAGUUAAAGCCAUCAAUCUUAGACCUAACUCGAAACUUUACGGCGAAGUCACCCAUCACUACACUACGGACUUCAAGUAAAUCGCAUCUCACACCUAGUAAGAUGCCCCCCGAUCUUCCUCGCGGAGGUAAGCAAUGCCAAUCGAAAUCUAUACCACCAACUAGUGAGGAGAGAAACUGUGGUGCAAAGUUAUCUCUACCCGUCUCCGAUAGAGCAACAAAAUCUAGCUUCUGCUCAAUAGAAGUCUCAGCCAGGAAUCUUCUUUUAGCCAAGUCCUUAAGACCUCUGCUGUUCCAAAAAAUUCAUCUCAUAGUUCAUCAUGGAAUUUUUUGGUGGUUCGAAUCCUAGCACUCCUACGAACUGCGGAAUCGGGAUAAAUCUUCCGUUUCCACUUACGUUUAGGUUUAUUAAGCUCGAGUCCCCGUUCCUCAUGACCGGGUUCUGAAAUAUUGCUAGCGUCAUUCUGUAGGGGCACAUCCUCUUCGUCAGCCUCAUGGUUAGUGGGUGCGAGAUCCUCACACAGGCUAUCAAGCACUCUAACUCCUAACGCAUUUAUCUCAUCAUCAUUCAUAGGUUUAACUGCUGCAAGAUUACGAAUAGUCUCUAAAGCCCGUUCCGCUUCCAGGUCUAAAAUAUCAUUCACCGAUUUGGUAAUUUCACUAUCUGUAGCACCUAGUGAAACUCCUAAUUGGUUUGCAUUAUUUAUAAUGUCCUCAUUAGAAAAAUGCAAUAAGGAAUUAGACAAGUCAACGGACAUACCCGAUGUACAAGCAGCCUCCUGAAGCUUGGCCUCCCUCAUAGCGCACCGCUGCUGCAUAUCAUCAACCUCCGGGACGUCGAGGAUGCGAGCACUCAUCCGUCUGCCCCCGGAAGUAGGGUCCGGGAUCCCGCCAAACGCGAUCACCUCCUCCCUGUAUAACCUGGCACCAAAACUCCAGGUGGUGCCGAGGUCACUAGCGAAGGCAUCUGCGGGCUCCCGAUCCCCUUGGACGAGUGCCCCACCGCAGGCAAUGGGGAGGAGUGAACGACCGGGGCCUCCUGCCCGCCGUCUCUUCCCGCCCCAACCUGCGGCUCAGACGUAGUAGCCCUCGGAGGGGUGGUCCGCCUGACCACCUGGGCAGAGGGAGGAGACCGGGCCACCUGCCCUGGCGUCCCCCCUCCCGCAGCAGCAGCGACAGUGGUAGCCACCACCGUCGCGGAAGUCGUCAAGGCCGCCUGCCUCGAGGACCCUCCAGCCGCUGGAACCGACCCCCUAGGGGUCAAGCCCACCGGCGAAACCUGCAACGUCCUCGGGACGGGGGGAGAAUGGACUUCAGGUCCCGAACCCCCUCCCCCACAACCCCUCGGCCCCGUGCUCGCUGACACCGAAGUCACUCCCACAACAGUCAGCAAUCCAGUAGGGCUAUCACUGUGCCCGCAGUCCGCACCAACCUCCCUCUCAACCUCCAGUGAAGGAAGCGUGUGCUCAAGAGCAUCGUCCGACUCCACCCUGUCACUCCAAAGCCUGGGAGGUGCCGAAGCUGGCUCGAAAGAACCGAAACGCAAAGUAGCCAUGGGUACCGCCGGUGAGACAGUGGGCUCAGCCUCCGGUCCAGUCCCGGCCGACUGAGGUUGAGAUCCGUUGGAUCCCUCUCGCAUGGUCUCAUCUGACGGUGCCCCCUUAGUCCCAGCACCACCCUCACGGUCGUGCAUAUCAACAUCAUUGCCGUUAACUGCAUCGUCAAAUAAGUCGGUGUCCUCAAACUCAAUAUCUAGCGGGAAGACCUCACCCUUAUAUGUCCAGUUGACCUUAUCAGGCACAUACUCAAUAUCCAAAAUGCUCACAAGAAUCCGGGCAAUCCCAUUGGCACGAGUGAAAGCCAUGUCCACUUUUUUAGUUUUUCCAACGAGGAUACCCAAACUGGCCACAACACGAGCGUCCUGCAGAGGCUUAGAUGGAGCCCCCAAAAACCUCAGCCAUACCUGUGUAAGCGGUUUUCCUUUAGGCUCAACCUGUUUCCACUCAUUAAACUCCAGAAUACACUUAGUACCGGGAACUUUACACAAGCCAAAACUUAACAAUUUCUGCAGGUCCUCGACAGAUGUGAAAUCAACCUUAAAAACUCUGUCCUCAAUGGGCACUAACUCCCAAACAAAAUCACCGGGAGCUAACUCCUGCAACCUCCUCACAAUCUGUGCCUCAGUCACCUCACCCUGUGUCGCUCUGACAAUCUCAGUAGUUGAAGUGUGGUUAUCCUCCGGGACCACUCUCACCUCCGGGGACUCAAAAAACAUGAGCUCAGCACAGUAGACUCCAUAGAUGUUCAGAGUCGGAGGUACGUCACGCAAGAUCGGGCACUCACCCGACUCAUGUGCAAGCUUGCCACAUGACUCACAAAAUUGGUGAAGGAAAUAUGCCCUAGAGGCAAUAAUAAAGUUAUUAUUUAUUUCCUUAUAUCAUGAUAAAUGUUUAUUAUUCAUGCUAGAAUUGUAUUAACCGGAAACAUAAUACAUGUGUGAAUAUAUAGACAAACAGAGUGUCACUAGUAUGCCUCUACUUGACUAGCUUGUUAAUCAAAGAUGGUUAUGUUUCCUAACCAUGGACAAAGAGUUGUUAUUUGAUUAACAGGAUCACAUCAUUAGUUGAAUGAUCUGAUUGACAUGACCCAUUCCGUUAGCUUAGCACCCGAUCGUUUAGUAUGUUGCUAUUGCUUUCUUCAUGACUUAUACAUGUUCCUAUGACUAUGAGAUUAUGCAACUCCCGUUUACCGGAGGAACACUUUGUGUGCUACCAAACGUCACAACGUAACUGGGUGAUUAUAAAGGUGCUCUACAGGUGUCUCCGAAGGUACUUGUUGGGUUGGCGUAUUUCGAGAUUAGGAUUUGUCACUCCGAAUGUCGGAGAGGUAUCUCUGGGCCCUCUCGGUAAUGCACAUCACUUAAGCCUUGCAAGCAUUGCAACUGAUGAGUUAGUUGCGAGAUGAUGUAUUACGGAACGAGUAAAGAGACUUGCCGGUAACGAGAUUGAACUAGGUAUUGGAUACCGACGAUCGAAUCUCGGGCAAGUAACAUACCGAUGACAAAGGGAACAACGUAUGUUGUUAUGCGGUCUGACCGAUAAAGAUGUUCGUAAAAUAUGUAGGAACCAAUAUGGGCAUCCAGGUCCCGCUAUUGGUUAUUGACCGGAGACGUGUCUCGGUCAUGUCUACAUUGUUCUCGAACCGUAGGGUCCGCACGCUUAAGUUUUCGAUGACAGUUUUAUUAUGAGUUUAUGAGUUUUGAUGUACCGAAGGAGUUCGGAGUCCCGGAUGAGAUCGGGGACAUGACGAGGAGUCUCGAAAUGGUCGAGACGUAAAGAUCGAUAUAUUGGACGACUAUAUUCGGAGUUCGGAAAGGUUCCGAGUGAUUCGGGUAUUUUUCGGAGUACCGGAGAGUUACGGGAAUUCGUAUUGGGCCUCUUUGGGCCAUACGGGAAAGGAGAGAAAGGGCCAAAAGGGUGGCCGCACCCCUCCCCUUGGACUAGUCCGAAUUGGACUAGGGAGGGGGGGCGCCCCCUUCCUUCCUUUUGCUUCUCUCUUCCCUUUCCUUCUCUCCUACUCCUACUACAUGGAAGGGUUCCUAGUUGGACUAGGAAAGGGGGAAUCCUACUCCCGGUGGGAGUAGGACUCCCCUAGGGCGCGCCAUAGAGGGCAGGCCCUCCCCUCCUCCACUCCUUUAUAUACGGGGGCAGGGGGCACCCCAUGGACACACAAGUUGAUCAUUGAGAUCGUUCCUUAGCCGUGUGCGGUGCCCCCCUCCACGAUAUUCCACCUCGAUCAUAUUGUUGCGGUGCUUAGGCGAAGCCCUGCGACAGGAGAACAUCAAGAUCGUCACCACGCCGUCGUGCUGACGGAACUCCCCCUCGGAACCUCUACUGGAUUGGAGAUCGAGGGUGCGUCAUCGAGCUGUACGUGUGUCAAGAACUCGGAGGUGCCGGAGUAACGGUGCUUGGAUCGGUUGGACCGGGAGGACGUACGACUACUUCCUCUACGUUGCGUCAACGCUUCCGCUUCAGUCUACGAGGGUACGUAGACAACACUCUCCCCUCUCGUUGCUAUGCAUCACCAUGAUCUUGCGUGUGCGUAGGAAAUUUUUUGAAAUAACUACGUUCCCCAACAGUGGCAUCCGAGCCAAGUUUUUAUGGUUUGAUGUUAUAUGCACGAGUAGAACACAAGUGAGUUGUGGGCGAUAUAAGUCAUACUGCUUACCAGCAUGUCAUACUUUGGUUCGGCGGUAUUGUUGGAUGAAGCGGCCUGGACCGACAUUACGCGUACGCUUACGCGAGACUGGUUUUACCGCCGUGCUUUGCACACAGGUGACUAGCGGGUGUCAGUUUCUCCAACUUUAGUUGAGCCGAGUGUGGCUACGCCCGGUCCUUGCGAAGGUUAAAACAGCAUCAACUUGACAAACUAUCGUUGUGAUUUUGAUGCGUAGGUGAGAUUGGUUCUUGCUUAAGCCCGUAGCAGCCACGUAAACCUUGCAACGACAAAGUAGAGGACGUCUAACUUGUUUUUGCAGGGCAUGUUGUGAUGUGAUAUGGUCAAGACGUGAUAAGAUAUAAGUUGUUGUAUGAGAUGAUCAUGUUUUGUUGAAGUUAUCGACAACUGGCAGAAGCCCUAUGGUUGUCUCUUUGUUGCAUAAGAUGCAACUACCAAAUAAUUGCUUUACUUUAUCGCUAUACGAUAGCAAUAGUUGUAAGAGCAAUAGUUGGUGAGACAACCAUGUGAUGACACAUUGAUAUAGAUCAAGAUGAUGAAGAUCAUGGUGUCGUGCCGGUGACGAUAGAGAUCAUGACAGUACUUUGGAUAUGGAGAUCAAAGGCGCAAGAUAAUCAUGGCCAUAUCAUGUCACAUAUUUUUGAUUGCAUAUGAUGUUUAUCUAUUAUACAUCUUAUUCUUGCUUUGAUUGACGGUAGCAUUUUAAGAUGAUCUCUCACUAAAUUAUCAAGAAGUGUUCUCCCUGAGUAUGCACCGUUGCCAAAGUUCGUCGUGCCCAGACACCACGUGAUGAUUGGGUGUGAUAAGCUCUACGUCCAUCUACAAUGGGUGCAAGCCAGUUUUGCACACGCGGAAUACUCAGGUUAAACUUGACGAGCCUAGCAUAUGCAGAUAUGGCCUUGGAACACGGAGACCGAAAGGUCGAGCGUGAAUCAUAUAGUAGAUAUGAUCAACAUAAGAUGUUCACCAUUGAAAACUACUCCAUCUCACGUGAUGAUCGGUUAUGGUUUAGUUGAUUUGGAUCACGUGAUCACUUAGAUGACUAGAGAGAUGUCUGUCUAAGUGGGAGUUCUUAAGUAAUAUGAUUAAUUGAACUUAAAUUUAUCAUGAACUUAGUCCUGGUAGUAUUUUGCGAAUUAUGUUGUAGAUCAAUAGCUCGCGUUGUUGCUUUCAUAUGUUUAUUUUCAUAUGUUCCUAGAGAAAAUUGUGUUGAAAAAUGUUAGUAGCAAUAAUGCGGAUUGGGUCCGCGAUCUGAGGUUUAUCCUCAAUGCUGCACAGAAGAAUUAUGUCCUUAAUGCACCGCUAGGUGACAGACCUAUUGCAGGAGCAGAUGCAGACGUUAUGAACGUUUGGCUAGCUCAAUAUGAUGACUACUUGAUAGUUUUGUGCACCAUGCUUUAUGGCUUAGAAUCGGGACAUCAAAGAUGUUUUGAACAUCAUGGACCAUAUGAGAUGUUCCAGGAGUUGAAGUUAAUAUUUCAAGCAAAUACCCGAGUUGAGAGAUAUGAAGUCUCCAACAAGUUCUAUAGCUAAAAGAUGGAGGAGAAUCGCUCAACUAGUGAGCAUGUGCUCAGAUUGUCUGGGUACUACAAUCGCUUGAAUCAAGUGGGAGUUAAUCUUCCAGAUAAGAUAGUGAUUGAUAGAAUUCUCUAGUCACCAUCACCAAGUUAGUAGAACUUCGUGAUGAACUAUAGUAUGCAAGGGAUGAUUCCCGAGUUUCUUCAUGAUGAUGAAAUCGAUGAAGGUAGAAAUCAAGAAAGAACAUCAAGUGUUGAUGGUUAACAAGACCACUAGUUUCAAGAAAAGGGCAAAGGGAUAGAAGGGAACUUCAAGAAGAACGGCAGGCAAGUUGCUGCUCAAGUGAGGAAGCCCAAGUCUGGACCUAAGCCUGAGACUAAGUGCUUCUACUGCAAAGGGAAUGGUUACUGGAAGCAGAACUACCCCAAGUAUUUGGCGGAUAAGAAGGAUGGCAAAGUAAACAAAUGUAUAUUUGAUAUACAUGUUAUUGAUGUGUACUUUACUAGUGUCUAUUGCAACCCCUCGGUAUUUGGUACUGGUUCAGUUGCUAAGAGUAGUAACGCGAAACGGGAGUUGCAGAAUACACUAGUUAAGGGAGAAGUGACGAUGAGUGUUGGAAGUAGUUCCAAGAUUGAUAUGAUCAUCAUCGCACACUCCCUAUACUUUUGGGACUAGUGUUGAACCUAAAUAAAUGUUAUUUGGUGUUUGCGUUGAGCAUGAAUAUGAUUUGAUCGUGUUUAUUGCAAUACAGUUAUUCAUUUAAGUAAGAGAAUAAACUGUUGUUCUGUUUACAUGAAUAAAACCUUAUAUGAUUACACACCCAAUGAAAAUGGUUCAUUGGAUCUCGAUCAUAGUGAUACACAUAUUCAUAAUAUUGAAACCAAAAGAUGCAAAGUUAAUAAUGAUAGUGCAACUUAUUUGUGGCACUGCCGUUUAGGUCAUAAUGGUGUAAAGCGCAUGAAGAAACUCCAUGCUGAUGGGAUUUUGGAAUCACUUGAUUAUGAAUCACUUGAUGCUUGCGAACCAUGCCUCAUGGGCAAGAUGACUAAGACUCCGUUCUCCGGAACAGUGGAGCGAGCAACUGACUUAUUGGAAAUAAUACAUACUGAUGUAUGCGAUCCAAUGAGUGUUAAGGCUCGCGGCGGGUAUCGUUAUUUUCUGACCUUCACAGAUGAUUUGAGCAGAUAUGGGUAUAUCUACUUGAUGAAACAUAAGUCUGAAAUAGUUGAAAGGUUCAAAGAAUUUCAGAGUGAAGUGGAAAAAUCAUCGUGACAAGAAAAUAAGGUUUCUACGAUCUGAUCGCGGAGACAAAUAUUGGAAUUACGAGUUUGGUCUUCAAUUAAAACAAUGUGGAAUAGUUUCACAAAUUCAUGCCACCUGGAACACCACAUCAUAAUGGUGUGUCCGAACGUCAUAACCGUACUUUAUUGGAUAUAGUACAAUCUAUGAUGUUUCUUACCGAUUUACCAAUAUCGUUUUGGGAUCAUGCAUUAGAGACAGCUGCAUUCACGUUAAAUAGGGCACCAUCUAAAUCCGUUGAGACGACACUAUAUGAACUGUGGUUUAGCAAGAAACCAAAGUUGUCGUUUCUUAAUGUUUGGGACUGCGAUGCUUAUGUGAAAAAGUUUCAUCCUGAUAAGCUCAAACCCAAAUCGGAGAAGUGCGCCUUCAUAGAAUACCCAAAGGAAAUUUUUGGGUACACCUUCUAUCAUAGAUCCGAAGGCAAAACAUUCGUUGCUAAUAAAUGGAUCCUUUCUAGAGAAGGAGUUUCUCUCGAAAGAAGUGAGUGAGAGGAAAGUAGAACUUGAUGAGGUAAUUGUACCUUCUCCCUUAUUGGAAAGUAGUUCAUCACAGAAAUCUGUUCCUGUGACUACUACACCAAUUAGUGAGGAAGCUAAUAAUGAUGAUCAUGUAACUUCAGAUCAAGUUACUACCGAAUCUCGUAGGUAAACCAGAGUGAGAUCCGCACCAAAGUGGUAUGGUAAUCCUGUUCUGGAGGUCAUGUUACUUGACCAUGACAAACCUACGAACUAUGAGGAAGCGAUGAUGAGCCCAGAUUCCGCGAAAUGGCUUGAGGCCAUGAAAUCUGAGAUGAGAUCCAUGUAUAAGAACAAAGUGUGGACUUUGGUGGAGUUGCCCGAUGAUCGGCAAGCCAUAGAAAAUAAAUGGAUCUUCAAGAGGAAGACGGACGCUGAUAGUAGUGUUACUAUCUACAAAGCUAGACUUGUCGAAAAAAGGUUUUUGACAAAGUUCAAGAUGUUGAAUACAAUGAGAUUUUCUCACUCGUAUCGAUGCUUAAAAGUCUGUCCGAAUCAUGUUAGCAAUUGCCGCAUUUUAUGAAAUCUGGCAAAUGGAUAAACAAAACUGCAUUCCUUGAUGGAGUUAUUAAAGAAGAGUUGUAUGUGAUGCAACCAAGAGGUUUUGUCGAUCCUAAAGGUGUUAACAAAAUGUGCAUCUAUGGACUGGUGCAAGCAUCUCGGAGUUGGAAUAUACGCUUUGAUAAGUUGAUCAAAGCAUAUAGUUUAUACAGACUUGCAGUGAAGCCUGUAUUUACUAGAAAGUGAGUGGGAGCACUACAUCAUUUCUGAUAAGUAUAUGUGAAUGACAUAUUGUAGAUCGGAAAUAAUGUAGAAUUAUUCUGCAAAGCAUAAAGGAGUGUUUGAAAGGAGUUUUUCAAAGAAAGACCUCGGUGAAGCUGCUUACAUAUUGAGCAUCAAGAUCUAUAGAGAUAGAUCAAAACGCUUGAUAAGUUUUUCAAUGAGUACAUACCUUGACAAGAUUUUGAAGUAGUUCAAAAUGGAACAGUCAAAGAAAGAGUUCUUGCCUGUGUUACAAGGUUUGAAAUUGAGUAAGACUCAAAACCCGACCACGGCAGAAGAUAGAAAGAGAAUGAAAGUCAUUCCCUAUGCCUUGGCCGUAGGUUCUAUAAAGUAUGCCAUGCUGUGUACCAGAUCUAUUGUAUGCCCUGCACUGAGUUUGGCAAGGGAGUGCAAUAGUGAUCUAGGAGUAGAUCACUGGACAGCGGUCAAACUUAUCCUUAGUGGAAUAAGGAUAUGUUUCUCGAUUAUGGAAGUGACAAAAGGUUCGUCGUAAAGGUUUACGUCGAUGCAAGUUUUGACACCGAUCUGGAUGACUCUAAGUCUCGAUCUAGAUACAUAUUGAAAGUGGGAGCAAUUAGCUAGAGUAGCUCCGUGCAGAGCAUUGUAGACAUAGAAAAUUGCAAAAUACAUAACGGAUCUGAAUGUGAAAAACCCGUUGACUAAGAUUCUCUCACAAGCAAAACAUGAUCACACCUUAGUAAUCUUUGGGUGUUAAUCACAUAGCGAUGUGAACUAGAUUACUGAAUCUAGUAAACCCUUUGGAUGUUGGUCACAUGGCGAUGUGAACUAUGGGUGUUAAUCACAUGAUGAUGUGAACUAUCGAUGUGAAUCACAUGGUGAUGUGAUCUAGAUUAUUGACUCUAGUGCAAGUGGGAGACUGGAGGAAAUAUGCCCUAGAGGCAAUAAUAAAGUUAUUAUUUAUUUCCUUAUAUCAUGAUAAAUGUUUAUUAUUCAUGCUAGAAUUGUAUUAACCGGAAACAUAAUACAUGUGUGAAUAUAUAGACAAACAGAGUGUCACUAGUAUGCCUCUACUUGACUAGCUUGUUAAUCAAAGAUGGUUAUGUUUCCUAACCAUGGACAAAGAGUUGUUAUUUGAUUAACGGGAUCACAUCAUUAGUUGAAUGAUCUGAUUGACAUGACCCAUUCCGUUAGCUUAGCACCCGAUCGUUUAGUAUGUUGCUAUUGCUUUCUUCAUGACUUAUACAUGUUCCUAUGACUAUGAGAUUAUGCAACUCCCAUUUACCGGAGGAACACUUUGUGUGCUACCAAACGUCACAACGUAACUGGGUGAUUAUAAAGGUGCUCUACAGGUGUCUCCGAAGGUACUUGUUGGGUUGGCGUAUUUCGAGAUUAGGAUUUGUCACUCCGAAUGUCGGAGAGGUAUCUCUGGGCCCUCUCGGUAAUGCACAUCACUUAAGCCUUGCAAGCAUUGCAACUGAUGAGUUAGUUGCGAGAUGAUGUAUUACGGAACGAGUAAAGAGACUUGCCGGUAACGAGAUUGAACUAGGUAUUGGAUACCGACGAUCGAAUCUCGGGCAAGUAACAUACCGAUGACAAAGGGAACAACGUAUGUUGUUAUGCGGUCUGACCGAUAAAGAUCUUCGUAGAAUAUGUAGGAACCAAUAUGGGCAUCCAGGUCCCGCUAUUGGUUAUUCACCGGAGACGUGUCUCGGUCAUGUCUACAUUGUUCUCGAACCGUAGGGUCCGCACGCUUAAGGUUUCGAUGACAGUUUAUUAUGAGUUUAUGAGUUUUGAUGUACCUAAGGAGUUCGGAGUCCCGGAUGAGAUCGGGGACAUGACGAGGAGUCUCAAAAUGGUCGAGACGUAAAGAUCGAUAUAUUGGACGACUAUAUUCGGAGUUCGGAAAGGUUCUGAGUGAUUCGGGUAUUUUUCGGAGUACCGGAGAGUUACGGGAAUUCGUAUUGGGCCUCUUUGGGCCAUACGGGAAAGGAGAGAAAGGGCCAAAAGGGUGGCCGCACCCCUCCCCUUGGACUAGUCCGAAUUGGACUAGGGAGGGGGGGCGCCCCCUUCCUUCCUUCUCCUUCUCUCUUCCCUUUCCUUCUCUCCUACUCCUACUACAUGGAAGGGUUCCUAGUUGGACUAGGAAAGGGGGAAUACUACUCCCGGUGGGAGUAGGACUCCCCUAGGGCGCGCCAUAGAGAGGGUCGGCCCUCCCCUCCUCCACUCCUUUAUAUACGGGGGCAGGGGGCACCCCAUGGACACACAAGUUGAUCAUUGAGAUCGUUCCUUAGCCGUGUGCGGUGCCCCCCUCCACGAUAUUCCACCUCGAUCAUAUUGUUGCGGUGCUUAGGCGAAGCCCUGCGACAGGAGAACAUCAAGAUCGUCACCACGCCGUCGUGCUGACGGAACUCCCCCUCGGAACCUCUACUGGAUUGGAGAUCGAGGGUGCGUCAUCGAGCUGUACGUGUGUCAAGAACUCGGAGGUGCCGGAGUAACGGUGCUUGGAUCUGUUGGACCGGGAGGACGUACGACUACUUCCUCUACGUUGCGUCAACGCUUCCGCUUCGGUCUACGAGGGUACGUAGACAACACUCUCCCCUCUCGUUGCUAUGCAUCACCAUGGUCUUGCAUGUGCGUAGGAAAUUUUUUGAAAUUACUACGUUCCCCAACAAUUGGGCCACACAUUCAGCAAUAAAGUGGCCCUUGUCCCCACAUCGAUAGCAAAUCAUCCUCUCCUUCUUACGGGCAUACUUGGAAGCCCUCUCAGCAUCAGACAUGUCGGUGGCCUCAUCCACCGUCCCAGCCUCAGAAACGUCAACAUUGGCCAACUCCUUUACCACCUCCUUCGCCUGUGGAGGUAGCUCUGAGGAAUGCUGAGUCUCAUCCGUAGCAUCAGAAUGAACUGUCACCCUAGGUGGUUGUGGGCGACGAAAUCUCCCACGACCCCAAGUCCGACCACCUCUGUUACCACGAAAACCUCCUCUUUGAUGAUGAUCCGGGCCGGAUGCCCCCUCAACAAACCCGCCGGCCGGCCCUAGAAAGGGUCUCUCGGUCGAACCGUCACUCUGCCAAACGUAGCCACGGCCUCCUCCCGUUGACGAGGAGCCGCGGUGAUGUCCCUCACCGUAUGCAUCGUAGCCGUCAUCCCCCCACUGGCCUCGGGGAGGAGCAUUAGACUGAGUGGACCUGUUUUGCACCGGCCUAGCAACAUAGUGUGGUGGUGGUUUUCCCGUGGUUGCCGGCGCACUUCCAGCCUGGCGUUGACCAGCGUCGCGGCCAGCCGGCCCAUUGCCAGCAGUACUCGGCACCUGGGGUCUAGGUCCCCCUAGACCGGCAGCUUGUGGGGCAGGGGGCGGCGCCGCUGUAGCCCUCCCUACCCCCCGGCCUGCAGAAUUCGCCACGGGCGCCAAGAACGGAGCCUUCGGCCUCAAGCCACCCCUCGCAAGGGCCGGCUGCGGAUGGGAUGUCCCCGGCGGCGGCGCCCCCCCGGUAGGUGCACCUCGACCCGCGACCCCAGCCGCUCCGCCACCUCCCGCCGGCGGCCUCUGGCCGACCUGCGUCUGACCCCCACGUCCGGUGGUCGCUGCCGGCGGUGGAGCCACUCCUCCCCGACCUGCAGCAGCCGACAGGGAUCGUUUCACCGGCGGAGGAGCAUCCCCUCGACCUGCCAUGGCGGGCCAGGGUUGGAUGUGCCGCGCUCGUCUAUCUCCGCAAGACGGGAACCCCCUCGUACCUGAUUUGCGAACCCUAGACGGCGGCAAGGGAGCGACAGACACAACACGAUCAACGUACGUGCAUGCGCCUUCCACAGGACGGACCGACCGGACGUCGCACUCCUGGGCCACAUACCCGUUGGAGGCCGCACGCUCCAGGCCCGCAUCAGCACCCCCAUGAUGGGCCUCAUGCCCAUUCAUGCUCUGGACACCGGCCCGUACCCUACCGGCCCACUCAGAGCCAAGUAGCGAUUUCAAACGAUCGGACCUGGCCGCCCUGAUCUCGUCGGCCGCCCAGGUCGCCAGCGGCGGAGGUGCUAGAUCUGGCCUCCCCCCCUUCUUCCUCUUCUUUCGAAUAACCAUGUUCCAAUCCUCUACAGGAAAAAAAUCGGACAAAGUAAUUGGUUGAACGCAUACCUUAGGCAAAGGCCCUUUCCAUGGUCGGAUCGCCGUCGCUGCCGUCCUCCGGUGUAUAAUCCGGCGAACCACCUCCACUCGAUCGGUAGAAUGCAGACCUAGCCGCGCCGGAUCAUCUCCCGGCACGAUUUCAUCUACCAACGCAGCAACAUCUUCCUCCGAAUAUCCAGGAUUGAACGCCUCGCAGAUCACGUCCGAUGGUGUUGGCGAAUACUCCGGCACCGGAUCGUCUUCGUCCUCCUCAUCUUCCGAGUCCGCUAGGGCCCAGAAUCGACCCCCCACCCGAGCACUAGUAGAAAACCACCAAUCAGUCCCGGUUCAUAAGGGCCUUUAGUCCCGGUUCGGGAACCGGGACUAAUGGGUCGUUACUAAUACCUCAACCCAUUAGUCCCGGUUCAAACACGAACCGGGACCAAUGUGCCUCCACGUGGCCCUGUGCGCCGAGCCCAGUCAGGGGGCCUUUGGUCCCGGUUGGUGGCUCCAACCGGGACCAAAAGGCGUCCACGUGUCUGCAUUCCAGUGGCCUGAGUUUCUUUUUGAAAGGAGGGGGGUUGGGGGGUUUUGGGGGGUUUUGGGGGGUUAAUUUAGGUGUUUCGUAUAUUGUGUUAGCUAGCUAAUUAAUAGAGAGAAGUGUCCUCUCUUAAUUAUGUCCGUGCUUGCUCGACGCUACGUAGUAUAUAUACAUAAGUGAUCGAGAGAACCAUUCAGUACAGAAGUUCGUCAUGCAUACCGAGAGAAGUGAUCGAUCGACCUCUCCUUCUCCGAGAGAUUGGUCGAACAACAAGUUUUACUGGCUACAUACAUGUACAAUCUAUAUAAGAUCUCUUAAUUACAAACCACUAGCAUUUGAAUUCAAGUUCCACAUGGUAUUCUCCGGCUUUACUGAUGACGUGUUCAAGAAAGAAUCCCGCCAAUUCCUCUUGAAUUGCUUUCAUGCGAUCUGGUUCUAGGAGUUCAUCCCGCAUCUGCCACGUCUAAUUAAUUUGAAGAAGGGGCUUAAUUAAUACAUAUAUAUGAAUGAAACUCAACAGAAAUGAUGGUGUAAUAAAAUGAAAUUGUGAAUAUUAUUGCUUACGCACUUCAUAUUGUCUUCUAGAGUAGCCCCGCUUGUUUUUCAAUGUCGCGUUGUGGAUGAACUCGCACACGUAGUAUCCACAGAAAUCAUUCCCUUCCUCCUGCCACAAGCACUUUACGAGAAAUAGAGGUCAAUCAAACUGAUAAUGAAGCAUUAUAUAAAUGGCAUUGAUGAAAGUAUAGCUAUAGAAUCAAUGGGAGAUGCGCGCCAGUAGUACUUACUUUCGGGUAUGUAUAUCGCAGCUCCUUCGGCAGUCCCGGAGCUUGUGCGGUGAAAUGUUUCCAAACCCUGCAAGACAAAGAAAAUAUUUGUUAUUACUUGAGAUAUCAGGAAAUGAACAAAAAGUUGCCGAUAUGGUGCGAUAAUGAUCGAUUGAACUUACUUGCUGAGCAUUUCAGUCAUGUCCGCAUAGGUGUUGGGAUCUUUCCGUCUGGAGUCUAAGACGGUUACUAGUCCACGCUCAAGCUUAAUCUCCAGAAGAAUAUAGUGGUACCUACACGCAUGCAUAACUCAUCAAUUACAUUAACCUCGCUCGAGUAAUAAGGAAAACCGAAUAUGCACACGACAGUAACACUCACGGGCCGUGGUAAGGAAAGAGUAUGGUAUCUUUGUUUUGAUUUUUUAUCAAUGAUUGUAGCAAGUUGUCCUCGGCCUCUUCGGCGCGCUUUUUAACCAGAAAAACAUCUAUGAUAUUUGUGUUAAUGAACCCAAUAUCAUAGAUUUCAUUUUUUUUGCACUCGACGAUCUUCAAUCUGCAUAAUAUAUUGAGGAUAAUUAAUUAUAAAUACAUGCAAUGAAAGAGCCGAGCUAUAUAUACAGACUAAUAACAGAAAUAGUACUUACAGGCAGUAGAAAAAGACCAUUAAUUUAUCGAGGGCCUUUUGAUUGAAGAACUCGAAGAACUCCUCAAAUGGAAUAGACAACAGAUCAUUUGAAACGAGGUCGUGCUCCUCUUUAAUUUUCAGAUACAAAGUGUUCGUCCCCUCAGACUCUCUGCAGGUUUUCAUGUACCAACUGUGGAAUCUUCGCAUCAUUGUUGUCAGAGACUUUUCAUCUUUGACGAGAGGCUUCCCGUACUCGUAUCUGAAUAAGUCCACCUCCAUGAAAUCAGGAAGUGCAUCGUCAGGCAGGUAAUCUUCAAGAUUGCCAUAACCGGCCACCGUCCCCGGAGGAUUAGACACAUUCAGCGGGGGGCACGAUUGCUGUGCUUGUUCGCCGAGCUGGGCAAUUUUUUUCCCCUUUGCCCGUUGUUCUUUUAACCUUUUAUCAGUGACAGUAGUUCCCGACCGCUUGGCUUGGAGAUAUGUCUGUUCAGUAAUGCGCUCAUAGUUGGUUCUCGGCGGAGACUUUGGUGGUUUCCUCAGGGCAUCGAGAGUGUGCUUUGCUUUCACCGGAUCGACCUUCUCCUCCGGAGGUGGAUGUAUCUUUGCUUUAACCCCUUCAAAGAACUCCUUCACUUGGGUCUGCACGAUCGUAUCGUUUUCCUCCUUGCUCCUCUCAUACGGUAACUUCUCUACAGGCUUUAGAGGUGGACCGUAUCUGUAUUGCCUCUCUCUUCUUGUGCUGCUAGACGCCGGAGCAGACGGAGCGGCUGCGGCGUCUGUCUUCCUUCGUGCUUGCUUACGAGGCGGAGGAGAAGGACUAUGACGCGUCGGAGCAGCCGGGGCGGCGGCGGGUCUCUUCCGCCCUUGCUGGCGAGGCGGAGAAGGAGGAGGCGGAGUGCCGCCACGCGCCGGAGAAGGGGGCGGAGUGCCGCCACGCGUGCCCUGAUCUUCACUCGCCGGAGGAGGAGGCGGUGGAGGAGGCGGAGUGCCGCCAUGCGUGCCCUGAUCGUCACUCGCCGGAGGAGGAGGCGGUGGAGGAGGCGGAGUGCCCUGACUCGCCAGAUGAGGAGGAGGAGGCGGAGGCGUCCAGUUCAGAAGGUCGAUGAGCUCCUUCCGCCAUAGGCAUGGAGUCUUCAGAGCAGAACCCAGCCUAGUCUCCCCUUCACCGGUAGGGUGCUCAAGCGCGAGGUCCUCAAAUCCCUCCGUUAUUUCAUCAACCAUCACCUUAGCAAAUCCUUCUGGAAUCGGCUGGCAGUGAUAAGUUGUGCCGGGUCCACUAGGAUAAACUUGGCCAACAGCCGCCUUGACCUUCAAAUUCAUGCAUCGCGCCAUAAUGUGGCAAUUUUGAGACUCCGUGAUACCAUCCACGGGAUAGCUGGCAGGAGCCGUCAAGACAUGCUCCGGCUGAAGCAGCUCGGUGGAAGCAACGCUGCUUCUGCGCUGAGAUGGCGGGGUAGCUUCGGGGGAAGCUUCGGCAUGUCGUUUGUUGCGAUCUGCUGCUUCUCGUUCCUCUUCUCGAUCCUCUAGCCCCAUUACCCUUCCAAGCAGCGCCUGCAUUUGGUCAUGCUCCACUUUCUUCCUCCUCUCGUGGGUUUUGUAACCCCCUGCGUCCGGAAAACCAACCUUCCACGGAAGCGAGCCUGGCGUGCCUCGUGUCCGUCCAGGGUGCUCGGGAUUCCCAAGGGCCAUUGUGAGCUCGUCCUUCUCCCUGUUUGGAAGGAACAUCCCUCGCUGCGCAGCAUCAAUAUAUUGUCGAAGUUUCUUGACUGGUGUUUGCAGUUGCUCGUUCGUCCACUGACACUGUCCUGUUACAGGGUCCAAGGUUCCGCCAGCCCCGAAGAACCAAGUCCGGCAACGGUCUGGCCAGCGCAUCGUCUCUGGUUCGAUCCCUUUUUCAAGCAGAUCAUGCUCAGCCUUGGACCACUUAGGCCGGGCUUUGAGGUAGCCACCUGACCCCGUGCGAUGGUGAAGCGUCUUCUUCGCAGCAUUUUUCUUGUUUGUCUCCGACAUCUUCUUACUCUUUUCCGAUGUCUUGUGGGCCACAAAUGCGGGCCAGUGAUCUUUGAUCUUCUCAUAUUUGCCGAUGAAUUCUGGUGUCUCUUUUUUCUUGACAAACUGGUUCAGCUCUUUCCUCCACCUCCUCAUUAGGCCAGCCAUCUUCUUAAGAGCACAAGACUUGAUUAAUUGCUCUUUAACUGGCUUCUCCGGAUCCUCCUCUGGCGGUAGGGUGAAAUUUGCCUUCAGCUCAUUCCAAAGAUCUUCUUUCUGCAUAUCAUUGACAUAAGACACCUCAGCGACUUCAUCCUUAGCAGGCUUAUACCAUUGCUGGAUGCUGAUCGGGAUCCUGUCCCUAACAAGAACCCCGCACUGAGCAGAAAAUGCCUUCUUUGUCCGGAUGGGUUCAAUCGGUUCGCCGUCGGGCGCGAUUUCUAUGAUCUCAAACUUUUCAUCCGAGCUCAACUUUUUCUUCGGGCCUCGUCUCCUUACCGAAGUUGUGCUCGAUCCGGAGGGCUAGAAAUUAUAAGGAAGAAAGACGACAGUACUUAAUAUGUGUACAUAUACCAAAACAAUGGAUGCAUCAAUUAACUUGUCAGCACGGGCUUAACUAAUAUAUAUAUACCUGGCCGGACUCGGUUCGGUGACUCGGCUCGGCACAGUCUCCUUCGUCUUGUACCUCCAUUGUGUCACCGGAGCCAUCAUGAACAUAGUCCUCCUCUUGUGCCGGCAUUAAUGAGUCGAAGCCAUCAUAAUCAUAGCCCUCUUCUUCAUCCAUCUGACCAACGGUGUCGAUGAGAAAUGACACAACAUCAUCACUUCCAUUUGCGAUUAUUUCCCCCAACAUCGCUUCUGUUUCUUCGUCUCGGGAGUGCUCCAUAGUUUCUGCAAAUAUUGACAACAUGUCAAUUAUUAUUCAAACAU